This 78104-nucleotide long non-coding RNA is filed under the name Hordeum vulgare. RNAcentral describes it as "long non-coding RNA (HVUL_LNC006139)". The record is from RNAcentral. Lineage: Eukaryota; Viridiplantae; Streptophyta; Magnoliopsida; Poales; Poaceae.
UUGUUGGCGCGCGUGCCCAGGAUGUACGCCAGCGCUUGGCAGCCGAUGACGGUGAACUUGUUGGUGUCGGCGAUCCUGUAGGGCGUGCCCCUGAAGUUGAGCUGCCAAGGGUCGGCGUCCAUGCCGUGCGAGGUGGCGUUGUAGCAGUAGCUGGAGAUAUGGUUCUGCAUCCGKACUCUGACCUUGCUGCAGCGAAACGCGGACGACCUCCAUGUUGCUGAAAAAUGGCCUGCGGCUCCCGCCAUUAAUCCCGGUCUCGUUGCAGGUCAGGUGGAAGCCGGGCAUGGCGCAGUUGGCGUCGUCCGGCGAGUCGACGAUGCCGAACGGGUAAGGGAUGUCGACGCCGCCGCAUUCCCUCUGGCAGCUGCUGCUCGGCCUAGGUGGUGCCGCUCCAACAAGUAGAAGCAGCGGUACGCGGAGCCAUACUGCCAGCAGUAGAGAAGCAGCUGCUGAUCUGUGGGACGCCAUGGAGGAGUGCUCUGGUUACGAGUUGUUUAAUGGGUAUGGGUACGCUAAAACACAUCUACGUACAUUCAUUUCUAUGACAAGUAUUUUCGAACGGAGGGAGUACUACAUACUAUCAAAUAUGUUCAUGUGUUGCAACGCGAAAAAUAAAUCCUUAAAUGCUGCAGGUGAUCCAUUCGUAUUCACACCCUCUUCGCUAUAAUCGCCGAUGGUAGUCAUGUUUUCAAGGCGCUGAUCUUGGUCAUCAUACUCAAACACGUCGCUUUCGCCANNNNNNNNNNNNNNNNNNNNNNNNNNNNNNNNNNNNNNNNNNNNNNNNNNNNNNNNNNNNNNNNNNNNNNNNNNNNNNNNNNNNNNNNNNNNNNNNNNNNCCAAAAUCAGUGAGUAAUAUCAKAYAGAAAAUGGGCACAAUAGGCCAAAACUGCAAUUUUUUACGAGUUCACCGUAACCGGACCACGGGGUUACAGAAACAUUCGGAUCACAAGGGCACCCAAAAUUAGUGACUAAUAGCAUACAAACUGGCCAGAAUAGGCCAAAACUAAGAGUUUGCAUGAGUUCCACGUAACCGGACCCCGGGAUUUCUAAAACGUUCGGAUCGCACCGGGACCCAAAAUCAGUCAUUAAUAGCAUAUAAAACUGGCGAGAUAAGACCAAAACUACAAGUUUUGACGAAUUCUCCGUAACCGGACCCCGGAGUUCCCGAAACGUUUGGAUCGCAGCGGGACCCAAAAUCAGUGAGUAAUAGCAUACAAAACUGGCCAGAAUAGACCAAAACUGCGAGUUUCGACGAGUUCCCCGUAACCGUACCUAGGGCUUCCCAAAACGUUCGGAUCGCAGCGGGAGCCAAAAUCAAUGAGUAAUAGCAUACAAAACUAGCCAGAAUAGACAAAAACUGUGAGUUUUGACGAGUUCCCCGUAACCGGACUCCGGGGUCCCGAAGUGUUCACAUCGCAGAGGGAACCAAAAUCGGUGAGUAAUAGCAUACAAAACUGGCAUGAAUAGGCCWAMWCUGNNNNNNNNNNNNNNNNNNNNNNNNNNNNNNNNNNNNNNNNNNNNNNNNNNNNNNNNNNNNNNNNNNNNNNNNNNNNNNNNNNNNNNNNNNNNNNNNNNNNGCCGGGAAAAGCGACGAUAGGAUGCGACGCAACCGGUGGAGAGUGGCGACGACGAUGGUGCGCGCAUCCAUCAUGGAUGGUUGCUAGCUAGUGCUACCACAUCCAUCGAUCCAUCCCUUUAAUUUGUCGGCCUCUCCAUCGACCGGCUCUGCUCUCGCUCUUGGGAUGAGAUUUUGCUGCCUGCUUAAUCCCUCUCCAUCUCCUCAGGUAUUUUUUGGACCAUGCAUCCAAAGAGAAGAAGAGUAUUCUCGUGUCACCCGAAAGCGUCGACAUUACAGCUAGCUGCUGAUUCAGAUUGACGCUACUCCUCCUCUUGGUUCAUUAUCACAUGCACGCGUGCAUGUGGGGUUCGGAGUUAAGUAAACACGGAUACCUGGGGACCGUUCGAAUACACUAUUCAGCUACWCWGCGGGGAGAUCUAGCGAUCSAGCASWARGCAGAUCAACAUGUGCGAGCACAAACACUAGCUGAUCUGCAUGCUCCAAAUAACAGCUGAUCAUCACAGACGCUCCAGCAAGCUAAUCAAGCACGCACGUACGUACGCUAGCUAGAGAUCGAUAAGGUGACACAUUGUUGUCAAAAGUUGGUAGAUUAGCAAGCUGUAGUACCACAUGAUGACAUAGUUAAGGUAGAAACAUAAUUUUCGUAGCAAUAGGUGGAAUCAUGCAUUUUCAGGGGAAAUGAUGACGAUGAUGGUGUGUGUCCCUGCAGAGGCAAGCAGCACGCCCCUGGAAAGCUGGGAACUAAAGGCCAUAUAUGUCGAUCCCACUAUGCAUCCGAACAGAUCGAAUAUCGAAUAUACUAAAGUGUCUACGCCCGCUAUGUACUGAGUAUCUUGCACACAGUUGCAUNNNNNNNNNNNNNNNNNNNNNNNNNNNNNNNNNNNNNNNNNNNNNNNNNNNNNNNNNNNNNNNNNNNNNNNNNNNNNNNNNNNNNNNNNNNNNNNNNNNNUCAUAUUACAACGGGAUCCAAAAUCAGUGACUAAUAGCAUAGAAAACUGGUCAUAAUAAGCCAAAACUAUGAGUUUUGACGAGUUCUCUUUAACCGGACCACGGGGUUCCUAGAACGUUCGGAUCGCACGAGGACCCAGAAUACUAAUAGAGUACAAACGUGGCCAGAAUAGGCUAAAACUGUGAGGUUUGACGAGUUCCCCGUAACCGGACAUCGGGGUUCCCGAAACGAUCGGAUCGCAACGGGACCCAAAAUUAGUGAGUAAUAGCAUACAAAACUAGCCACAAUAGGCCAAAACUGCAUGUUUUGACGAGUUCCACGUAACCAGAUCCCGGGGUUCCUGAAACGUUCAGAUCGCAGCGGGACCCAAAAUCAGUUAGUAAUAGCAUAAAACUAGCCACAAUAGGCCAAAACUGCGAUUUUUGACGAUUUCCCCGUAACCGGACCACAGGGUUACCGAAACGUUCGGAUCACAGCGGGACCCAAAAUACAGUGAAGCAUACCAUACAAAAUGCCGGGAAUAAGCCAAAAUUGCGAGUUUUCACGANNNNNNNNNNNNNNNNNNNNNNNNNNNNNNNNNNNNNNNNNNNNNNNNNNNNNNNNNNNNNNNNNNNNNNNNNNNNNNNNNNNNNNNNNNNNNNNNNNNNCUGAUUUUGGGUCCCGCUGCGAUCCGAACGUUUUAGAAAGCCCGAGGUCCGGUUACGGGGAACUCGUCGAAACUUGCAGUUUUGGUCUAUUCUGGCCAGUUUUGUAUGCUAUUACUCACUGAUUUUGGGUCCCGCUGUGAUCCGAAUGUUUCAGGAACCCCGGGGUCCAGUUAAGGGGAAAUCGUGAAAACUCGCAGUUAUGCCUAUUCCCCAGUUUUGUAUGCUAUUACUCACUGAUUUUGGUUCCCGCUGGGAUCUGAACAUUUCGGGAACCCGUGGUCCGAUUACGGGGAACUCGUCGAAACUCGCAGUUUUGGUCUAUUCUGGCAAGUUUUGUAUGCUAUUACUCACUGAUUUUGGGCCCCGCUGCGAUCCGAACGUUUCGAGAACCCCCGGGUCCGGUUACGUGGAACUCGUGAAAACUCGCCGUUUUGGCCUAUUCCCGCCAUUUUUGUAUGCUAUUAUUCAUUGAUUUUGGGUCCCGUUGUGAUCCGAACGUUUCRGUAGCYMSUUUGGUCCGGUUACGGGGAAAUCGUCAAAAAUCGCUUUUUUGGCCUAUUGUGGCUAGUUUUUCUAUGCUAUUAGUCACUGAUUUUUGGUCCCGCUGCGAUCCGAACGAUUCGGGAACCCCAGGAUCCGGUUACAUGGAACUCGUAGAAAACGACCCAGUUUUGGCCUUAUUGUGGCAAGUGUUGUAUGCUAUUACUCACUGAUUUUGGGUCCCGCUGAGAUCCGAACGUUUCGGGAAUCCCGAUGUCCGGUUACGGGGAACUUGUCAAAAUAACAGUUUUAGCCUAUUCUGUCCACGUUUGUAUGCUAUUAGUAUUUAGUUCCUCAUGCGAUCCGAACGUUCGGGAACCCCGGGGUUCGGUUAAAGAGAACUCGUCAAAACUCGCUAGUUUUGGCUUAUUACGACCAGUUUUCUAUGCUACUAGUCACUGAUUUUGGGUCCCNNNNNNNNNNNNNNNNNNNNNNNNNNNNNNNNNNNNNNNNNNNNNNNNNNNNNNNNNNNNNNNNNNNNNNNNNNNNNNNNNNNNNNNNNNNNNNNNNNNNCAGAGUAGCCUUAAAUAUUCAGAUCAUAGCGGGACCCAAAAUCAGUGACUAAUAGCAUAGAAAACUAGUCGUAMUAGRCCAAAACUGCGAGUUUCGACGAGAUCCCCGUAAUCGGACCACGGGUUCCCAAAACGUUCGGAUCGCAGCGGGAACCAAAAUCAGUGAGUAAUAGCAUACAAAACUGGCCAGAAUAUGCCAAAUCUGCGAGUUUCACGAUUUCCCCUUAACCGGACCCCGGGKYUCCUGAAACGUUUGGAUCGCAGCACGACCCAAAAUCAAUGACUAAUAGCAUACAAAACUGGCCAGAAUAGACCAAAACUUUGAAUUUUGAUGAAUUCCCCGUAACCGGACCCCAUGGUUCCCGAAAGGUUCGUAUCGCAGCAGGAAACAAAAUCAGUGAGUAAUAGCAUAGAAAACUGGUCGUAAUAGUCCAAAAUUGCGAGUUUUGACGAGACGUAGACGAAGCAGACAGACGGAGGCGAGCAGUCGCGUGAUCGCUCCCCAAAACCUAAUCGCCCCUCUCCCGUACAGGAACCGGAGAGCGAGGUUUCGGAGGCCUGCUCUCCCGUCGACCGUGUACGCGGUAAACGGGACGGAGUCGCCGGCGGCNNNNNNNNNNNNNNNNNNNNNNNNNNNNNNNNNNNNNNNNNNNNNNNNNNNNNNNNNNNNNNNNNNNNNNNNNNNNNNNNNNNNNNNNNNNNNNNNNNNNCUAUCAUGUGGUGAUGCACUCCUUUUUGGAAACCCAAGGUACGCAAAUACCGGCCGGCCGGGAAAAGCGACGAUAGGAUGCGACGCAACCGGUGGAGAGUGGCGACGACGAUGGUGCGCGCAUCCAUCAUGGAUGGUUGCUAGCUAGUGCUACCACAUCCAUCGAUCCAUCCCUUUAAUUUGUCGGCCUCUCCAUCGACCGGCUCUGCUCUCGCUUUUGGGAUGAGAUUUUGCUGCCUGCUUAAUCCCUCUCCAUCUCCUCAGGUAUUUUUUGGACCAUGCAUCCAAAGAGAAGAAGAGUAUUCUCGUGUCACCCGAAAGCGUCGACAUUACAGCUAGCUGCUGAUUCAGAUUGACGCUACUCCUCCUCUUGGUUCAUUAUCACAUGCACGCGUGCAUGGUGGGGUUCGGAGUUAAGUAAACACGGAUACCUGGGGACCGUUCAAUACACUAUUCAGCUCACAGCGGGGAGAUCUAGCGAUCGAGCAUAAAGCUGAUCAACAUGUGCGAGCACAAACACUAGCUGAUCUGCAUGCUCCAAAUAACAGCUGAUCAUCACAGACGCUCCAGCAAGCUAAUAAAGCACGCACGCACGUACGCUAGCUAGAGAUCGAUAAGGUGACACAUUNNNNNNNNNNNNNNNNNNNNNNNNNNNNNNNNNNNNNNNNNNNNNNNNNNNNNNNNNNNNNNNNNNNNNNNNNNNNNNNNNNNNNNNNNNNNNNNNNNNNAGUCACACGAUUACGUGCUACGGAACGAGUAAAGAGACUUACCGGUAACGAGAUUGAACAAGGUAUAGGUAUACCGACGAUCGAAUCUCGGGCAAGUUCUAUACCGACAGACAAAGGGAAUCGUAUACGGGAUUGAUUGAAUCCUUGACAUCGUGGUUCAUCCGAUGAGAUCAUCAUGGAGCUAGUGGGAGCCACCAUGGGUAUCCAGACCCCGCUGAUGGUUACUGGCCAGAGAGGUGUCUCGGUCAUGUCUGCCUGUCUCCCGAACCCGUAGGGUCUACACACUUAAGGUUCGAUGACGCUAGGGUUAUAGGGAAUUGUUGUACGAGGUUAUCGAAAUUUGUUCGGAGUCCCAGAUGAGAUCCCGGACGUCAUGAGGAGCUCCGGAAUGGUCCGGAGGUAAAGAUUGAUAUAUAGGACGGAUGGUUUCGGACACCGGAAGUGUUUCGGGCAUCACCGGUAACGUANNNNNNNNNNAAAAUUUGUUCGGAGUCCCGGAUGAGAUCCCGGACGUCAUGAGGAGCUCCGGAAUGGUCCGGAGGUAAAUAUUGAUAUAUAGGGCGGAUGGUUUCGGACACCGGAAGUGUUUCGGGCAUCACCGGUAACGUACCAGGACCACCGGGACCACCGGAGGUGGUCCCGGGGGACCACCGAAGGGGGGUGACGACCCCGGGAGGCUAGAUGGGCUAAGUGGGGUUGGGAACCAGCCCCUAAGUGGGCUGGUGCGCCCCCCACCCAGCCCAUGUGCACCAGAAAANNNNNNNNNNNNNNNNNNNNNNNNNNNNNAUAAGUGGGGAAGGGAACCAGCUCCUAAGUGGGCUGGUGCGCCCCCCACCCAGCCCAUGUGCACCAGAAAAAGGGGGAAGGGGGGGAACCCAAACUUAGGUGGGCCUUAGGCCCACCAGAGGGGUGCGCCACCCCUCCUCCUUGCCCUGGCCGCCACACCCCCCAUCUGGGAGGGCUGCCGCACCCCCUAGGGUGGGAACCCUAGGGGUGGCACCCCCUCUCCNNNNNNNNNNNNNNNNNNNNNNNNNNNNNNNNNNNNNNNNNNNNNNNNNNNNNNNNNNNNNNNNNNNNNNNNNNNNNNNNNNNNNNNNNNNNNNNNNNNNGGGGGGGGGGGGGUCUUAUUCCUUUUCAGUUAAAUCAUUAGCCACCAUUCAAUUUUAUGUCUGGGGUCCGCACCUAGUUCUCCCAAUAUUGUUGUUUUAACACUUUAUGAGUAAACAUUUGAGCAUUGGGGACACACUCCACACAUCUCGAUGAGUAGAGUUAUAGUUGUUUUCACACUUAGCAUCUAGCAUCAUGUUAGUUAAGGCUUUUAAUUGGGAGCUAAAGAUUUCUCUCUUCUUUCAUUUCUUCAAGAUUCUCUACCAUGUCUGUUUACACCAUGAAUUAAAGUGCUACUCAAAUUAGAUUUUUUUUCUCACUUGAGUAAAUCAAUGAUAUACAUAAGCUGUGAUUAUUGUAAUGUUUCCACACUUUGAUGUCUCUAUUAAUGGUCUUAUUAGCAAUCUUCACCCUAAGUGCCUGCUUACACCUUAUGGAUGUUGAUGAUUUAAUAGACAAAGCACUACAAUAGUAAAAACACAUUUGAUGAAUAUAUAACUUACAUAUAACUAAACCCACCUCCACCCACCCCUACAUCGCACACACAUACAAACACAUACUCCAUACCUACCAUAUGUUGCCAAUAUGUUGGUCAUUGUGCCAGGUUCUUCUCAUGCUCGGGACGUCUUUGGAUCAUACGUAAAAUCCUCUAUCUCACCUAAGACCCAACCGUCACAUAUAAGAGAUAGCUUAUGUCAUUACGUAUGCCCUUAUAUAUAUAUAUGUCAUGACCAUACACAAACAUGUCGUUUUCCAUUUAUCGUUCUAUGUCGAUACCUAGUGGUUUUGACACGCGCACAUGCAUACUAUGAUUGCUCACGCAUGCCUUUAUUGCGAUAUGGACGGUUAGAAUUCGAUUUUCCCAACAAGUUCUUCGUCUUUCUACCGUCCGGUUAAUCUAUUUUUCUUUCUAUUUUAACCGGUAAUUUUUCACCAACGAGAUUAUGACAUUAGUUCAGCAACCACAAAGCCUGACGCCGUGUGUCAACUGGUCUCGCAUCCUUUUACAAUACAACCCAUUCGUUCUAAUAGAGUAUUUUGUGAACCUUGUCAUAUAUUUAAGAAAAUAGUUGUUGCAAAAAAAAAAGUUACUCGAGUCCAUACUUUCCAUUUUAAAACAAAAAUAGACUGGUACAUAGUGAUAUAUUCCUAUGGGAAAUAAAUAGUUAUAAUUAAGUUGAUGUCUCCACAACAUUUACAUGACAUAAAAUGAACAGCAUGUCACAGGAUUUCAUUCUUUUAAGGCCUUCCACCGUGCGUCGUGCCCGGCAUUUACUUAUUAUGCCAUCCCAGUUUGUGGUUGCUGAAUUGUGUUUCUACGUGCUGAUUUCAUUGUACGUUUGUAGGAAAAACAGACAUAAAGAUAGGCAGAAAAGAGAUACACAAGCAAUGAAAUACAAAAAAAAAAGAAUAAAUAAAGUGGAGUGAGUGUCUUAACACACCGCGAUGCCAACGCAGCCUUAGAUGACCGGCCGCAUGCACCUACAUAUGUACCCAAGCCCAAGUAACAAAACAAACUUGUUUGGUGGCCGCUUCCUGCGAUGACCACAUAAAAGAGGAUACGGCGCAUAAAAUAUCCACGAUAACGACGACGGUGCUCCAAGAUUCUACUCUUAUAUAUCCUCCUAAUCUUAUGUGCACCACGCGUGCGAUGCAUUGCCAGCAUUGACGCAAGCAUGGCCGCCGCAACGGCGCCGCGCCGCCGGGCGGCACGGCUGCCGCCAAGCGUUCGUCCGGGAAGCGUCCCACGUGUAUAUCCCUGCAUGCAUGCAGUACAGAUACACCGUACCUGCUAGCUUUCUUUUUUUUUGCCGCACGGUGGAUAUAUUACGGCCGAUCAAGUGUGUGUAUAUAGGAGUAUAUAUUUACGUACAUAUUUAUGUAAGUUAGCGUUUGCAGGUGAGGUGGUGGUGCCGUACAUGGGGCCGCGGCCGCCGGUGGGGAUCCACCGGUACGUGCUGGUGCUGUUCGAGCAGAAGACGCGCUUCCCCUACGUGGACGCGGCGUCGCCGGAGGACCGCGCCUACUUCAACACCCGCGCCUUCGCCGGCAACCACGAGCUCGGCCUCCCCGUCGCCGUCGUCUACUUCAACUCCCAGAAGGAGCCCUCCGGACACCGCCGCCGCUGAGGCAUGCAAUUAAUCACGCUGCAUGCCAAACAGAGCGAUGCAGACUUAUCCCGGUGAAGAAUAAUAGCCGAGCUUCCAUAUAUAUAUAUGCAUGCCAGCAACUGCUAUGUGUUGCUUUUAAUUACUGUUGUGUAAUCGCACUGUGCUUGUGUAUGCAUGCAUGAGAUGAGAUGCAUGGGAACCGAUAUAUUUUGGGGUUUUGCAGCAUAAGUCUGCAUGCCUCCGCGCGACGGGUGUUUCCCGCCGCGCCUUCUUGUAAUAAUAGUAGAAUGCAGCCGCGCUUAGUAAUUUCUUCUUGUUUGGUCCUCAAUUAUCAUGCAUACUACUCCCUCCGUUCUUAAAUAUAAAUCUUUUAAGAUAUUUCACUAGAAGUCUACAUACGGAACAAAAUGAGUGAAUCUAUACUUUAAAGUAUGUCUAUAUACAUCCGUAUGUAGUUCACUAAUGAAACUUCUUUAAAGACUUAUAUUUAGAAACGGAGGGAGUAUCAUGCAUAGUCUCUUACCGUCUUUGUACCUGCCAUCGUGUGUUACAGGGGCGGAACUACGUCCAAGGCAGCCCGGGCUACAGCCCGGGUCUUGGCCCGUGUAGUCCCUUUCUAUGCUCUGUAUGUUUCAUAAAAAUAUUAAGCUACAUGCAGUCUAGCCCGUGUCCUGGGUAAAAUUGAGUCGGGCUACGCAAAGCUGAAAGCCCAACAAAGCAGCGACGGAGAACGGACUCCCGAUCGGGCUAGCUAGGUCGAAAAAAAGGGUUUGCCCCUGAUCACGCUCGUUCCUCUUCCGAUCGGCACAAGUCACGGAACCGUCGCGCACAUCGUUCUAUCACACCGAGUCGCCGCCCAUCCAGUGCGGCACAGCGCGCGGCAGUGCCCAACGCCGCCGAGAUCCGCCCCACGACGGCCGCCGCCCGCCCGUGACACGCUCGCCGUCGCACCAGCGCUUGCCAUUGCCGGUUGUGUUUCUUUUUCUACGUUGGCUCAUCAAGUCAUCAGCACCAGGCACCAGCGCUUGUCUUGUAAUUUCUUCAUGCCCGCUGGCGGUCGCACCAACGCUCGCCGUAGUACUCUGUAGCAGUUCUAGACUUCUAGUUUCUCUUUUUUUUUCAGUCCUCCAGAUUGCUCUUCUAGUUGGUAGUUUCUCUUUUUGUUCAGUUAACCAAAGAGACUGCUACAAGCCUACAACCUACAGUCUACGGACUACAUUUGGUUUAUACCGUCCACCAAAGAGACCGCCUCUUCUUAAACGUUCGUAGAACUGCUACAGCCUACAGAGUACUAACUACUAAGUACAUACUACAAUUAUGUAGUUAGCUAGCUGUUUCAGAAUUUUUACUAAUUUAAUUUGUUCUGCUUACACAGAAGAUGAAGGGGAAAAAAAGAUCAAAGCCAUGUUCAGCAAGACCGGUGUCGUCCUAUUUUCCGUCACUGUCACAACUUGCCAAUUCAAACCAACCUCGUGAGAGUGCUGCCGAAAAUUCUGAUACAAAUGUCGAUGAAAGUGGGACAAUUUUUGGACAUGGAGAAGCUAGUACAAUCCUGCAAAGUUCAACCACCGGUACAAGAUAAUCCUGAUCCUCACAAUGUUAUUAAUCCAGAACAUGAUAACAAUAGCAUAGAUGAAGAGAAUGCUAGUGUUGAGCUUAAUCCAGAUGACAUCGUGGCGGAUCCGGGCCUUCGCAAACCGAUUGAGGAGCUAGAUGUAAACAUCAGAGAUGCUGCUAGGAGAGAGUAUUUGGUAAUGGGUGCAUGCCAACCAAUUGGUCAUAAGUUUCCUGCAAAAUUAAUUGGAAGCCAGAUGCGGAGAUUUCAGGAUAAGUGGUUUAAAAGGUAUGAUUGGUUGGAAUAUAGUGUAGCAAAAGACGCUGCAUUUUNNNNNNNNNNUCUCUUUAAACAACCACGAGCAGAAAAUUUUGGUAUAGAAUCAUUUACGAAGGUUGGUUUUAGCUAUUCGAAGAAUGGAAUUGAAGCUUGUGAUCUUCAUGUUGGUAAGGAUAUGAAUAGUGCUCACAAUAAAGCUAGAAAAUAUUAUGACGCCUUUAGAAAUCAGCGGCAAGGUGUGGAUUAUGUGUUCGCAGCUGCCACCAAGAAGGACGAGGAAGAAUAUAAAGCUCGUGUUACAAUUAUGAUAGGCAUUGCAAAAAAAAUUCUAUUGCAAGCUCUUGCUUUUCGUGGGCAUGAUGAGUCUCGUAGCUCAAACAAUCAAGGUAAUUUUCUUGAGAUGCUGAAAUGGUAUAAAGGGAAGGAUGAAAAGGUUGCAAAAUUGCUUGACAAUGCUCCUGGAAACCGUCAAAUGAUCUCACCAACAAUACAAAAACAGAUUUGCAAAGCGUGUGCUGAAGUUACCACCAAAGCUAUUAUUGAUGACAUUGGGGAUAAAAAGUUUGCGGUACUUAUUGAUGAGGCACGGGAUGCAUCUAUUAAGGAACAAAUGGCCAUGGUUUUGAGGUUAGCCGCUACGACAUCUACAUUUCUUCUACUUGAGUGAAUCAAAAUUAUAAAGUAUGCUAAUUUUGUUUUUCUUUUAUGUAGGUAUGUCAACAAUGAGGGACAGGUGAUAGAAAGAUUUGUUGGUGUCAAGCAUGUUCCAGACACGACAUCUGCUUCACUGAGGAUAGCCGUGGACGGUAUGUUAAAAUCUCUUGGUUUAUCCAUCUCUAGUGUGAGAGGUCAAGGUUACGAUGGGGCAUCAAAUAUGAGAGGACAAUUUCAUGGCUUGCAAAGACGCAUAUUAGAUGAAAACCCAUAUGCCUUCUAUGUCCAUUGUUUUGCCCAUCAGUUGCAGCUAGUGGUUGUGUCUGUUGCCAAGUGUUGUUCCUCUGUCUUGGACUUCUUUAAUUAUGCCACCAUGAUUGUCAACACAGUUAAUGCUUCUUGUCAUAGAAAAGAUAAAUUGCUGCAAAGUCACCAUGAUGAGAUUGUGAACAAAAUUGAGACCGGAGAUAUCUUCACAGGAAGAGGAAAGAACCAAGAAACUAAUCUUGCAAGGCCAGGGGAUACUCAUUGGGGAUCUCAUCAUAAAACCUUAUGUCGUCUUGUUCACAUGUGGAAACCUGUCCUACAUGUAUUAGAGAAUUUGAGUGAUGAUGCCACUAAUGCAACACAGAAAACCACUGCUUCAGGUUUAUUGGGAAAAAUGGAAAGCUUUGAGUUUGUUUUUAUAAUGCACCUUAUGAUAAGAAUUCUUGGGAAGACUAAUGACUUAUCAACAUGCUUGCAAAAGAAAGAUUAAAACAUUGUUCGUGUUGUAGGGCUGAUAGGUACUACAUCGAAGGAAGUUGAGAAUAUGAGAAACACGGGUUGGAAUGAAAUUUUUGAACAAACAAAGGGCUUUUGUCUUGAGCAUAAAAUUGUUGUGCCAAAUAUGGAAAAUAAAAUACCAGCUAGAGGUCGUUCGAGGGGUCGUGGCAGCCAGUUAGUAACUUAUUAUGAUCAUUUCCAUUAUGAAAUAUUUAAUGUGGUGCUUGAUCAAAUUAUUGUUGAGAUGAAUAAUCGCUUUGCUGAAAGAUCUACUCAAUUAUUGAGGUGCAUAGCUUGUCUUGAUCCACGGAAUUCUUUUGCUAAUUUUGAUAUUGACAAGUUAGUUGAACUUGCAAGAAUGUAUGCGAUGACUUCUCCCCAUAUGAGUGUAUAGUCCUUCGGGACCAACUUGGCACAUUUAUUGUUGAUGCAAGAGAUGAUUCGGGCUUUGCAAAUUGUAUUGAUCUCGGGAACCUUGCUCUGAAGAUGGUUCAAACGGAGAGACACAUGACCUUUCCAUUGGUAUACCGUCUUAUUGAGUUUGCCUUGAUUUUGCCGGUUGCAACAGCUACAGUGGAAAGAGCAUUCUCAGACAUGAAGAUUAUUAAGACAGAUUUGAGGAACAAGAUGAAUGACGGCUGGAUGAAUCAUAGUAUGUUAUGCUAUAUUGAGCGAGAUAUAUUUGCAAAUAUUGAAGAUGAAAAGAUUUUGGAGCAUUUCCAAAGUAUGAGGUCGCGCAAAAGACAAAUACCCCGUUCAGCUAGUGGUACGUUACUUUCUUAGCAAUACAAUUAAUGUAUGUAUUCAUCCAUUACUUCUUUUUGAUUAAUUUUCUUAUCUUUGAUGUAGGUUAUGGUUCUUCUCCGGUGAUUGAUGAGGAAAUGGUGGGCUAAAGAUAAGAGAAAAGUUUCAUUUUGUAGGUAUUAAAAUGUGUCCUAAUUAUGCGAUUAUGGAACAAUAUAUUUUUUGUGCUUUUCUAGUGUCAUUUGGUUAAAAACUGGACAUACUUUCACUUCAGAAGUUUAAUUAUGCAUUUUAGUUUGGUUUGACUUAUAUAUUCUGAUAUGAAUAGAAGAUUAGAAGGUAUUUUUUGGGUAGUUUUUGUCCAUCACAACUUAGCCCCGGUCUUUGCCAAUUUCUGAGUCCGCCACUGGUGUGUUAAUUUUCUUUCGAUUUCUGAGAUCUCUAGAUACAUACUUCCUCUUUACCUAAAUACUUAUACUCCCUCCGUUCCUAAAUAUAAGUCUUUUUAGAGAUUCUACUAGAAGACUACAUACGUAUGUAUAUAGACAUACUUUAGAGUGUAUAUUCACAUAUUUUGCUUCGUAUGUAGUCACCUAGUGGAAUCUCUUAAAAGACUUAUAUUUAGGAACGGAGGGAGUACUUGGGAAGAACUACUUUUUUUAACAUAGUACAGACACAAGUCCUCAUAUACACACGCAUACACUCAUCCCAUAAACACGCACACACACAUCCUAUCCCUAUGAGCACCUUUAAUUUUUCUCCAACUACAAGUAUUUAGAUACAAAGGAAGUAGUAAAUAUGCACCCACUUUGCAUGAUCGCUCCCUCCGUUUAUAAUACCUGUAGUGGUCUUAGUUAGCGGAGGGACUACAUGCCAAUUUUUCUUUCUUUCUUAUUUUGUUUUACUUUCAGGUGGGGCCAACAGAAAUAAGGUCCCAAAAAUCUACGAAAUUUCAGGACUUUUUCACCCGAAAUUAGCAAACGAAUUUGGUAAGGGUAUCUUGGUGCACGUAGCUUCCCCUUGCGGAGGGAGAAAGAGCCCGGGCACUUUGGAUGUAUAGUACACNNNNNNNNNNNNNNNNNNNNNNNNNNNNNNNNNNNNNNNNNNNNNNNNNNNNNNNNNNNNNNNNNNNNNNNNNNNNNNNNNNNNNNNNNNNNNNNNNNNNUCAAAUACGCAUAAAACAACGUCGAACCUUAAGUGUGCAGACCCUGCGGGUUCGAGAACUAUGUAGACAUGACCCGAGAGACUCCUCGGUCAAUAUCCAAUAGUGGGACCUGGAUGCCCAUAUUGGAUCCUGCAUAUUCUAUGAAGAACUUAUCAUUUGAACCUCAUUGUCAAGGAUUCAUAUAAUCCCGUAUGACAUUCCCUUUGUCCUUCGGUAUGUUACUUGCCCGAGAUUCGAUCGUUAGUAUCCGCAUACCUAUUUCAGUCUCGUUUACCGGCAAGUCUGUUUACUCGUUCCGUAAUACAAGAUCCCGUAACUUACACUAAGUCACAUUGCUUGCAAGGCUUGUGUGUGAUGUUGUAUUACCGAGUGGGCCCUGAGAUACCUCUCCGUCACACGGAGUGACAAAUCCCAGUCUUGAUCCAUACUAACUCAACUAACACCUUCGGAGAUACCUGUAGAGCAUCUUUAUAGUCACCCAGUUACGUUGCAACGUUUGAUACACACCAAGUAUUCCUCCAGUGUCAGUGAGUUAUAUGAUCUCAUGGUCAUAGGAACAAAUACUUGACACGCAGAAAACAGUAGCAACAAAAUGACACGAUCAACAUGCUACGUCUAUUAGUUUGGGUCUAGUCCAUCACGUGAUUCUCCUAAUGACAUGAUCCAGUUAUCAAGCAACAACACCUUGUACAUAAUCAGAAGACACUGACUAUCUUUGAUCAACUGGCUAGCCAACUAGAGGCUUGCUAGGGACAGUGUUUUGUCUAUGUAUCCACACAUGUAAAUGAGUCUUCAUUCAAUACAAUUAUAGCAUGGAUAAUAAACGAUUAUCUUGAUACAGGAAUUAUAAUAAUAACUAUAUUUAUUAUUGCCUCUAGGGCAUAAUUGCAACACUUAGGUACUGUAGCAAACUUAAAUUCUACUUAUGUUGAUGUUGGGUUACAGUAUUUUCAAUCUUCCAUGGCUAAUACCCCCCGAUACUAUCCAUAGUUUCAUCAAAAUAAGCAACCAACACAACAAAAAACAGAAUCUGUUAACACCAGGCCAGUCUGUAGCAAUCUGUAUACUUUGUAUACUUCUGCUACUUCACAAAUUCUGAAAAAUUUCGAAAGUCUGAAGAAUUUGCGUAGCAAUCAGCAGAAAAAAGAAUCAACUCAAAAUAUCUUACAGAAUAAAAAUGAAAAUUCUUUUCGCGAGCAAAAAGUUUCUGUCUUUUCCAGCAUGACCAAACGAUCAUCCCCAAGACUAAUCAUAACGGUUUUGCUUGGCACAAAUGCAAAAAGAAACACAAAAACAUAAUCAUAACAGAAUUAUGAAAGUGUGGAAAACACAAGACAGAAAUAAAAAGCUAAAUUCAUUGGGUUGCCUCCCAACAAACGCUAUUGUUUAACGCCCUUUGCUAGGCAUUGAUAAAUCAAUGAUGCUCACACAAAAUAUAAGAAUUGAAGCACAACGAGAGCAUCAUAAAGCAUGUGAAAAUCACAUCUAAGUCUGACAUACUUCCUAUGCAUAGGCAUUUUAUAGGAAAACAGAUUGUCAAGACAACCAAUAGUUGACAUAUGCAAGGAAGAAGAAAGAGACAAUAGCAAUCUUAACAUAACAAGAGGUGAUUUAGUGAUAUGAAAGUUUCUACCACAUACUUUCCUCUCUCAUAAUAAUUACAUGUGGGAUCAUAUUCGAAUUCAACAAUGUAACUAUCACAUAGGAUAUUAUUUUCAUGAUCCACAUGCAUGCAAAGUUGUCGCUCUUCAAAAAUAGUGGGAUUAUCAUCAACUAAAGUCGUGACUUCUCCAAACCCACUUUCAAUAAUAUUGCAAAUAUUAUAUUCAUCAUGAGGCUUAAACAAAUUUUCAAGAUCAUAAGAAAAAUCAUUGCCCCACUCAUAAUCAUUGCAACAAGUAGUGGACAUAGCAAAACUAGCAUCCCCAAGCUUAGGGUUUUGCAUAUUCUUAGCAUGAUUGUCACUAAUAGAAUUUAUAGUGAAACCAUUGCAAUCAUGAUUUUCAUCCAAGGAGCCCUCGUGAAUCUCUUCAUAAAUUUAUUCCUCACAGUUUUCAGAUUCACGCAUCUCAAGCAAAACUCCAUAAAGAUAGUCAAGUGCACUCAACUCACUAGCAAUUGGUUCCACAUAAGUGGAUCUCUUAAAAAGAUUAGCAACUUGGGUGAGGAUCCAUGUUAAUAGAUUUUCAGCAAGCGAAGAUGCAAGCAUAUUGAAGGCACAUAGCACUCAAGCAAAGGAAAGUCAAGCGGGAAAAAAGGGCGAACAAAAAAGGCAAAUGAAAAAAGGAAAAGGAGAAAGGAAAAUGAAAACGGCAAAUGUGAAGUGGGGGAGAGGAAAACGAGAGGCAACUGGCAAAAAAAGUAAAUGCAAGAGAUGAGUUUGUGAGACCUACUUGGAUAGAUCUCUCCUUCCCCGGCAACGGCGCCAGAAAUACUUCUGCUACUGCAACAAAAGACCUUCCAACGGCGCCAGAAACAAGCAUGCUGACGGGAGGCUAUUCUUAUCUUGAUACUCCUCAGGAACGGCACCAAGAAUCCUUCUGCUACGGCUACGCCUUUAGGGACUUCCUAGGAAAAUAUGCAAAGGAUCCCCCCUUGGCCUUGGAGGCUUACGUUGGUGUUCCCUCGAAGCGGAAAGGGUGAUGUAGCACAGCGGUGGUAAGUAUUUCCCUCAGUUUUGAGAACCAAGGUAUCGAUCCAGUGAAGGAAUAACACAAGUACCUCACAAACAAAAAAGAGCUUGCUCCCAACGCUAUGAAGGGGUUGUCAAUCCCUUAUAGAUUGUUUGCCAAGUGAGAACUGAAAGCAACAAAGAAACAAAGCAAAGUAAAAGCGAAAGUGGAAACGAUAGGUGUGAAUAGAUUAUAUCUAUGACAAUGAUUAUAUCUAUAGGCAUCACGUCCAAAACAAGUAGACCGAUACUUUCUGCAUCUACUACUAUUACUCCACAUGUCGAUCGCCAUCCAGCAUGCAUCCAGUGUAUUAAGUUCAUGAGAACAGAGUAACGCCUUAAGCAAGAUGACAUGAUGUAGAUGGACAAUCUCAUAUCUACGAUAAAAGCCCAUCUUGUUACCCUUGAUGGCAACUACACGAUGUGUGCCUUGCUGCCCCUACUGUCACUAGGAAAGGUCACCACACGGUAAGAACCCAAAACCAAGCACUUCUCCCAUUGCAAGAAUCAUAGAUCUAGUUGGCCAAACAAAACCCUUGAUGAAGAAGCCCUCCAACUUCAAGGUCUUCUCCGGCAGGGCACCGGGAAGGGUCUCCAGAUGAGAUCUCGCGGAAACGGAAGCUUGCGGCGGCAGAAAAGUAUUUUCGUGGAUCCUGUGAUUUUUUCUGGAUUUUUAGGGAAUAUAUAGGCCAAAGACCUAGGGCAGGGGAGCGCCACGGGGGCCACAAGCUUGGUUGUCGCGCCCUCCCCCUUAGCCGCGGCAACAGGGCUUGUGGGCCCCCUGUGGGCCCACUUGCUUGGCCCUCAAUCUUCUUCCGUUCUGGAAAAAUUCAUUUCGGGGAUUUUAUUCCGUUUGGACACCGUUCCAAAAUCAGAUCUGAAAAGAGUCAAAAACACAGAAAAAACAGGAACUGGCACUUGGCACUGAGUUAAUAAGUUAGUCCCAAAAAAGAUAUAAAAGGUAAACAAAACAUCCAAAGUUGACAAGAUAACAGCGUGAAACCAUAAAAAAUUAUAGAUACGUUUGAGACGUAUCACCGGACCUCGGGGUUCCCGAAACUUACGGAUCGCAGGAGGACCCGAAAUCAGUGACUAAUAUCAUACAAACUGGCCAGAAUAGGCAAAAACUGCUAGUUUGGAUAAGUUCCCCGUAACCGGACCUCGGGGUUCCAAAGACGUUCGAAUCGCACGAGGGCCCAAAAUCGGUGAGUAAUAGCAUACAAACUUGGCCAGAAUAGGCCAAAACUACGAGUUUUGAUGAGUUCCACAUAAUCGUACCCCGGGGUUCCCGAAACGUUCCGAUCGCAGCGGGACCCAAAAUCAGUGAGUAAUAGCAUACAAAACUCGCCAGAAUAAGCCAAAACUGUGAGUUUUGACGAGUUCCCCAUAACCUGACCCCGGGGUUCCCGAAACAGUUGGGGAAGCGGGACCCACAAUCAUUGACUAAUAGCAUAGAAAACUGGCCACAGUAGGUCAAAACUGUGAUUUUAGACGAGUUCCCCAUAAGAGGACCUCGGGGUUCCCGAAACGUUCGGAUCUCACGGGGACCCAAAAUCAAUGAGUAAAUAGCAUACAAAACAGGUGAGAUUAGGCCAAAACUGCGAGUUUUGACGAGUUCCGCAUUACCAGACCCCCGGGUUCCCAAAACGUUUGGAUCACAUCGGUACCCAAAAUCAGUGACUAAUAGGAUAGAAAACUGGCCGGAAUAGGCCAAAACUGCGAGUUUUGACGAGUUCCUCAUAACCACACACCGCGGUUCCCGAAACAUUCGAAUCGCAGAGGAUCCAAAAUCACUCACUAAUGGCAUUGAAAACUGGCCAUAAUAGGGCAAAAGUGCGAGUUUUGGAGAGUUCCCCAUAACCGGACCGAGGGAUUCCCGAAACAUUCAGAUCACAGCGGGAUCCAAAAUAAGUGACUAACAACAUACAAAACUAGCCACAAUAGGCCAAAAGUGUGAGUUUUGACGAGUUCCCCUUAACCAGACCCCGAGGUUCCCGAAACAUUUGGAUCAGUGCGGGGCCCAAAAUGAGUAACUAAUAGCAUACAAAACUGGGGGGAAUAGGCUAGAACUGCGAGUUUUGACGAGUUCCCCGUAACCGGACCCAAGGGUUCCCGAAACGUUCGGAUCACAGCGGAACCCACGAUGAGUGACUAAUAGCAUACAAAACUAGGGGGAAUAGGCCAGAACUACGAGUUUUGACGAGUUCCCCGUAACCGGACCCAAUGGUUCCCGAAACAUUCGGAUCACAUCGGGACCCAAAAUCAGUGACUAAUAGCAUACAAAACUAGCGGGAAUAGUCUAGAACUGUGAGUUUUGAUGAGUUCCCUGUAACCGGACCCCAAGGUUCUUGAAACAUUCGGAUCAUAGCGGGACCCAAAAUCAGUGAGUAAUAGCAUACAAAACUGGUUGGAGUAGGCCAAAACUGUGAUUUUGACGAGUUCCCCGUAACUGGACCCAAGGGUUCCCGAAACAUUGGGAUCACACCGAGAACCAAAAUAAGUGACUAAUAGCAUACAAAACUGGCAAAUUAGGCCAAAAGUGUGAGUUUUAACGAGUUCCAAGUAACCGGACCCCAAGGUUCCCGAAACGUUCGGAUCACAACGGGGCCCAAAAUCAAUGACUAAUAGCAUACAAAACUAGCCGGAAUAGGCCAAAACUGCGAGGUUUUACGAGUUCCCCGUAACCUGAUGCAAGGGUUUCCGAAACAUUCGGAUUACAUAGAGACCCAAAAUCAGUGACAAAUAGCAUACAAAACUUUCCAGAAUUGGCCAAAACUAUAGGUUUUGACGAGUUCCCCGUAACCGGACCCCGGGGUCCCAAAACAUUCUCAUCACAACGGGACCCGAAAUCAAUGACUAAUAGCAUUCAAAACUGGGCGGAAUAGGCCAAAACAGCGAGUUCUCACAAGUUCCCGGUAACCGGACCCCGGGGUUCUCGAAACGUUCGGAUCGCAGCAGGUCCCAAAAUCAGUGACUAAUAGCAUACAAAACUGGCCAGAAUAGGCCAAAACAGCGAGUUUUGACGAGUUCCCCGUAACCGGACCCCAGGGUCCCAAAACAAUCUCAUCACAACGGGACCCAAAAUCGGUGACUAAUAGCAUAGAAAACUGGCCGCAAUAGGACCCAGAAUCAGUGACUAAUAGCAUACAAACCUAGCCGUAAUAGGCCAAAACUGCGAGUUUUUAUGUGUUCCCCGUAAGAGGACGUUGGGGUUCCCGAAACGUUCGGAUCGCAGCGGGAUCCAAAAUCAGUGAGUAACAACAUACAAAACUAGCGAGAAUAGGCCAAAACUGUGAGUUUUGACGAGUUCCACGUAACCGGACCCCGGGGUUCCCGAAACGUUCGGAUCGUAGCGGGACCCAAAAUCAGUGAGUAAUAGCAUACAAAACUGGCUAGAAUAGUACAAAACUGCGAGUUUUGACGAGUUCCCCGUAACCGGACCUCGGGGUUCCAAAAACGUUCGGAUCGCAGGAGGGCCCUAAAUUGGUGAGUAAUAGCAUACAAACUUGGCCAGAAUAGGCCAAAACUACGAGCUUUGACGAGUUCCACAUAACCGGACCCCGGGGUUCCCGAAACGUUCGGAUCGAAGCGGAACCCAAAAUCAAUGAGUAAUAGCAUACAAAACUGGCUAGAAUAAGCGAAAACAUUGAUUUUUGACGAGUUCCCCGUAACCUAACCCCGGAGUUCCCGAGAUGGUUGGGGAACAGCUGGACCCAAAAUCUUUGACUAAUACCAUAGAAAACUGGCCACACUAGGCCAAAACUGCGAGUUUUGAUGAGUUCCCCGUAAUAGGACCUCGCCGUUCCAGAAACGUUCGGAUCGCAGGGGGACCAAAAUCAAUGAGUAAAUAGCAUACAAAACUGGUGAGAAUAGGCCAAAACUGCGAGUUUUGAUGAGUUCCCCAUAACCAGACCCCGGGGUUCCUGAAACGUUCGGAUCGCAGCGGGAUCCAAAAUCAGUGACUAAUAUGAUAGAAAACUGGCGGGAAUAGGCCAGAACUGUGAGUUUUGACUAGUUCCCUCUAACCGGACCGCAAGGUUCCAAAACUUUCGGAUCACAGCAGGACCUAAAAUUAGUGAGCAAUAGCAUAUAAAACUCUCGGGAAUAGGUCAAAACUGCAAUUUUGACGAGUUCCCCGUAACCGGACCCAAGGGUUCCAGAAACAUUUGGAUCACAUCUGGACCCAAAAUAAGUGACUAUUGGCAUACAAUACUAGCCACAAUAGGCCAAAAGUGCGAGUUUUGACGAGUUCCCCAUAACCGGACCCCGAGGUUCCGAAAUGUUUGGAUCACGGCGGGAUCCAAAAUGAGUGACUAAUAACAUACAAAACUGCGAGUUUUGACGAGUCCCCCGUAACCGGAUCCAAUGGUCCUGAAACAUUCGGAUCACAUCGGGACCCAAAAUCAGUGACUAAUAGCAUACAAAACUGGCGGGAAUAGGCCAGAAAUGUGAGUUUUGACGAGUUCCCUGUAACCAGACCCCAAGGUUCCCGAAACGUUAUGAUCAUAGCGGGACCCAAAAUCAGUGAGUAAUAGCNNNNNNNNNNNNNNNNNNNNNNNNNNNNNNNNNNNNNNNNNNNNNNNNNNNNNNNNNNNNNNNNNNNNNNNNNNNNNNNNNNNNNNNNNNNNNNNNNNNNGGGAGAGGAUCCACUUACACUAGCUCAAGUCCGAUCAUCACGUGAGUUGAGCAUAGUUUCAGUGGUAAGCAUCCCUAUGCUAAUCAUAUCAUCUAUACGAUUCAUGAUUGACCUUUCGGUCUCAUGUGUUCUGAGGCCAUGUCUGCACAUGCUAGGCUCGUCAAGCUUAACCCGAGUGUUCCGCGUGCGCAACUGUUUUGCACCCGUUGUAUGUGAACGUUGAGUCUGUCACACCCGAUCAUCACGUGGUGUCUCGAAACGACGAACUGUAGCAACGGUGCACAGUCGGGGAGAACACAAUUUCUUCUUGAAAUUUUAGUGAGAGAUCACCUCAUAAUGCUACCGUCGUUCUAAGCAAAAUAAGGUGCAUAAAAUGAUUAACAUCACAUGCAAUUCAUAAGUGACAUGAUAUGGCCAUCAUCACGUGCUCCUUGAUCUCCAUCACCAAAGCACCGACACGAUCUUCUUGUCACCGGCGCCACACCAUGAUCUCCAUCAAUGUGUCGCCAUCGGGGUUGUCGUGCUACUCAUGCUAUUACUACUAAAGCUACAUCCUAGCAAAAUAGUAAACGCAUCUGCAAGCACAAAUGUUAGUAUAAAGACAACCCUAUGGCUCCUGCCGGUUGCCGUACCAUCGACGUGCAAGUCGAUAUUAUCUAUUACAACAUGAUCAUCUCAUACAUCCAAUAUAUCACAUCACAUCACAAGCAUACCUGCAAAAACAAGUUAGACGUCCUCUAAUUUUGUUGUUGCAUGUUUUACGUGGUGACCACGGGUAUCUAGUAGGAUCGCAUCUUACUUACGCAAACACCACAACGGAGAUAUAUGAGUUGCUAUUUAACCUCAUCCAAUGACCUCCUCGGUCAAAUCCGAUUCAACUAAAGUUGGAGAAACCGACACUUGCCAGUCAUCUUUGAGCAACGGGGUUACUCGUAGCGAUGAAACCAGUCUCUCGUAAGCGUACGAGUAAUGUCGGUCCAAGCCGCUUCAAUCCAACAAUACCGCGGAAUCAAGAAAAGACUAAGGAGGGCAGCAAAAUGCACAUCACCGCCCAAAAAAACUUUUGUGUUCUACUCGAGAAGACAUUUACGCAUGAACCUAGCUCAUGAUGCCACUGUUGGGUAACGUCGCAUGGGAAACAAAAAAUUUCCUACGCGCACGAAGACCUAUCAUGGUGAUGUCCAUCUACGAGAGGGGAUGAGUGAUCUACGUACCCUUGUAGACCGUACAACAGAAGCGUUAGUGAACACGGUUGAUGUAGUGGAACGUCCUCACGUCCCUCGAUCCGCCCCGCGAACAAUCCCGCGAUCAGUCCCACGAUCUAGUACCGAACAGACGGCACCUCCGCGUUCAACACACGUACAGCUCGACGAUGAUCUCGGCCUUCUUGAUCCAGCAAGAGAGACGGAGAGGUAGAAGACUUCUCCGGCAGCGUGACGGCGCUCCGGAGGUUGGUGAUGACCUUGUCUCAGCAGGGCUCCGCCCGAGCUCCGUAGAAACGCGAUCUAGAGGAAAAACCGUGGAGGUAUGUGGUCGGGCUGCCGUGGAAAAGUCGUCUCAAAUCAGCCCUGAAACCUCCGUAUAUAUAGGUGGGAGAGAGGGGACCUUGCCUUGGGGCUCAAGGAGCCCCAAGGGGGUCGGCCGAGCCAAGGGGGGAAGGUAUCCCCCCCAAACCGAGUUGGACUUGGUUUGGUGGGUGGGAGUCCUUCCUUCCCUUCCCACCUCCUCUUUUUUUUUCUCUUUGAUUUUUCUUCCAAUGCGCAUAGGGCCCCUUUUGGGCUGUCCCACCAGCCCACUAAGGGCUGGUGCGCCACCCUCAAGGCCUAUGGGCUUCCCCGGGGUGGGUUGCCACCCCCCCCCCCGGUCGAACUCCCGGAACCCAUUCGUCAUUCCCGGUACAUUCCCGGUAACUCCGAAAACCUUCCAGUAAUCAAAUGAGGUCAUCCUAUAUAUCAAUCUUCGUUUCCGGACCAUUCCGGAAACCCUCGUGACGUCUGUGAUCUCAUCCGGGACUCCGAACAACAUUCGGUAACCAACCAUAUAACUCAAAUACGCAUAAAACAACGUCGAACCUUAAGUGUGCAGACCCUGCGGGUUCGAGAACUAUGUAGACAUGACCCGAGAGACUCCUCGGUCAAUAUCCAAUAGUGGGACCUGGAUGCCCAUAUUGGAUCCUGCAUAUUCUAUGAAGAACUUAUCAUUUGAACCUCAUUGUCAAGGAUUCAUAUAAUCCCGUAUGACAUUCCCUUUGUCCUUCGGUAUGUUACUUGCCCGAGAUUCGAUCGUUAGUAUCCGCAUACCUAUUUCAGUCUCGUUUACCGGCAAGUCUGUUUACUCGUUCCGUAAUACAAGAUCCCGUAACUUACACUAAGUCACAUUGCUUGCAAGGCUUGUGUGUGAUGUUGUAUUACCGAGUGGGCCCUGAGAUACCUCUCCGUCACACGGAGUGACAAAUCCCAGUCUUGAUCCAUACUAACUCAACUAACACCUUCGGAGAUACCUGUAGAGCAUCUUUAUAGUCACCCAGUUACGUUGCAACGUUUGAUACACACCAAGUAUUCCUCCAGUGUCAGUGAGUUAUAUGAUCUCAUGGUCAUAGGAACAAAUACUUGACACGCAGAAAACAGUAGCAACAAAAUGACACGAUCAACAUGCUACGUCUAUUAGUUUGGGUCUAGUCCAUCACGUGAUUCUCCUAAUGACAUGAUCCAGUUAUCAAGCAACAACACCUUGUACAUAAUCAGAAGACACUGACUAUCUUUGAUCAACUGGCUAGCCAACUAGAGGCUUGCUAGGGACAGUGUUUUGUCUAUGUAUCCACACAUGUAAAUGAGUCUUCAUUCAAUACAAUUAUAGCAUGGAUAAUAAACGAUUAUCUUGAUACAGGAAUUAUAAUAAUAACUAUAUUUAUUAUUGCCUCUAGGGCAUAAUUGCAACACUUAGGUACUGUAGCAAACUUAAAUUCUACUUAUGUUGAUGUUGGGUUACAGUAUUUUCAAUCUUCCAUGGCUAAUACCCCCCGAUACUAUCCAUAGUUUCAUCAAAAUAAGCAACCAACACAACAAAAAACAGAAUCUGUUAACACCAGGCCAGUCUGUAGCAAUCUGUAUACUUUGUAUACUUCUGCUACUUCACAAAUUCUGAAAAAUUUCGAAAGUCUGAAGAAUUUGCGUAGCAAUCAGCAGAAAAAAGAAUCAACUCAAAAUAUCUUACAGAAUAAAAAUGAAAAUUCUUUUCGCGAGCAAAAAGUUUCUGUCUUUUCCAGCAUGACCAAACGAUCAUCCCCAAGACUAAUCAUAACGGUUUUGCUUGGCACAAAUGCAAAAAGAAACACAAAAACAUAAUCAUAACAGAAUUAUGAAAGUGUGGAAAACACAAGACAGAAAUAAAAAGCUAAAUUCAUUGGGUUGCCUCCCAACAAACGCUAUUGUUUAACGCCCUUUGCUAGGCAUUGAUAAAUCAAUGAUGCUCACACAAAAUAUAAGAAUUGAAGCACAACGAGAGCAUCAUAAAGCAUGUGAAAAUCACAUCUAAGUCUGACAUACUUCCUAUGCAUAGGCAUUUUAUAGGAAAACAGAUUGUCAAGACAACCAAUAGUUGACAUAUGCAAGGAAGAAGAAAGAGACAAUAGCAAUCUUAACAUAACAAGAGGUGAUUUAGUGAUAUGAAAGUUUCUACCACAUACUUUCCUCUCUCAUAAUAAUUACAUGUGGGAUCAUAUUCGAAUUCAACAAUGUAACUAUCACAUAGGAUAUUAUUUUCAUGAUCCACAUGCAUGCAAAGUUGUCGCUCUUCAAAAAUAGUGGGAUUAUCAUCAACUAAAGUCGUGACUUCUCCAAACCCACUUUCAAUAAUAUUGCAAAUAUUAUAUUCAUCAUGAGGCUUAAACAAAUUUUCAAGAUCAUAAGAAAAAUCAUUGCCCCACUCAUAAUCAUUGCAACAAGUAGUGGACAUAGCAAAACUAGCAUCCCCAAGCUUAGGGUUUUGCAUAUUCUUAGCAUGAUUGUCACUAAUAGAAUUUAUAGUGAAACCAUUGCAAUCAUGAUUUUCAUCCAAGGAGCCCUCGUGAAUCUCUUCAUAAAUUUAUUCCUCACAGUUUUCAGAUUCACGCAUCUCAAGCAAAACUCCAUAAAGAUAGUCAAGUGCACUCAACUCACUAGCAAUUGGUUCCACAUAAGUGGAUCUCUUAAAAAGAUUAGCAACUUGGGUGAGGAUCCAUGUUAAUAGAUUUUCAGCAAGCGAAGAUGCAAGCAUAUUGAAGGCACAUAGCACUCAAGCAAAGGAAAGUCAAGCGGGAAAAAAGGGCGAACAAAAAAGGCAAAUGAAAAAAGGAAAAGGAGAAAGGAAAAUGAAAACGGCAAAUGUGAAGUGGGGGAGAGGAAAACGAGAGGCAACUGGCAAAAAAAGUAAAUGCAAGAGAUGAGUUUGUGAGACCUACUUGGAUAGAUCUCUCCUUCCCCGGCAACGGCGCCAGAAAUACUUCUGCUACUGCAACAAAAGACCUUCCAACGGCGCCAGAAACAAGCAUGCUGACGGGAGGCUAUUCUUAUCUUGAUACUCCUCAGGAACGGCACCAAGAAUCCUUCUGCUACGGCUACGCCUUUAGGGACUUCCUAGGAAAAUAUGCAAAGGAUCCCCCCUUGGCCUUGGAGGCUUACGUUGGUGUUCCCUCGAAGCGGAAAGGGUGAUGUAGCACAGCGGUGGUAAGUAUUUCCCUCAGUUUUGAGAACCAAGGUAUCGAUCCAGUGAAGGAAUAACACAAGUACCUCACAAACAAAAAAGAGCUUGCUCCCAACGCUAUGAAGGGGUUGUCAAUCCCUUAUAGAUUGUUUGCCAAGUGAGAACUGAAAGCAACAAAGAAACAAAGCAAAGUAAAAGCGAAAGUGGAAACGAUAGGUGUGAAUAGAUUAUAUCUAUGACAAUGAUUAUAUCUAUAGGCAUCACGUCCAAAACAAGUAGACCGAUACUUUCUGCAUCUACUACUAUUACUCCACAUGUCGAUCGCCAUCCAGCAUGCAUCCAGUGUAUUAAGUUCAUGAGAACAGAGUAACGCCUUAAGCAAGAUGACAUGAUGUAGAUGGACAAUCUCAUAUCUACGAUAAAAGCCCAUCUUGUUACCCUUGAUGGCAACUACACGAUGUGUGCCUUGCUGCCCCUACUGUCACUAGGAAAGGUCACCACACGGUAAGAACCCAAAACCAAGCACUUCUCCCAUUGCAAGAAUCAUAGAUCUAGUUGGCCAAACAAAACCCUUGAUGAAGAAGCCCUCCAACUUCAAGGUCUUCUCCGGCAGGGCACCGGGAAGGGUCUCCAGAUGAGAUCUCGCGGAAACGGAAGCUUGCGGCGGCAGAAAAGUAUUUUCGUGGAUCCUGUGAUUUUUUCUGGAUUUUUAGGGAAUAUAUAGGCCAAAGACCUAGGGCAGGGGAGCGCCACGGGGGCCACAAGCUUGGUUGUCGCGCCCUCCCCCUUAGCCGCGGCAACAGGGCUUGUGGGCCCCCUGUGGGCCCACUUGCUUGGCCCUCAAUCUUCUUCCGUUCUGGAAAAAUUCAUUUCGGGGAUUUUAUUCCGUUUGGACACCGUUCCAAAAUCAGAUCUGAAAAGAGUCAAAAACACAGAAAAAACAGGAACUGGCACUUGGCACUGAGUUAAUAAGUUAGUCCCAAAAAAGAUAUAAAAGGUAAACAAAACAUCCAAAGUUGACAAGAUAACAGCGUGAAACCAUAAAAAAUUAUAGAUACGUUUGAGACGUAUCACCGGACCUCGGGGUUCCCGAAACUUACGGAUCGCAGGAGGACCCGAAAUCAGUGACUAAUAUCAUACAAACUGGCCAGAAUAGGCAAAAACUGCUAGUUUGGAUAAGUUCCCCGUAACCGGACCUCGGGGUUCCAAAGACGUUCGAAUCGCACGAGGGCCCAAAAUCGGUGAGUAAUAGCAUACAAACUUGGCCAGAAUAGGCCAAAACUACGAGUUUUGAUGAGUUCCACAUAAUCGUACCCCGGGGUUCCCGAAACGUUCCGAUCGCAGCGGGACCCAAAAUCAGUGAGUAAUAGCAUACAAAACUCGCCAGAAUAAGCCAAAACUGUGAGUUUUGACGAGUUCCCCAUAACCUGACCCCGGGGUUCCCGAAACAGUUGGGGAAGCGGGACCCACAAUCAUUGACUAAUAGCAUAGAAAACUGGCCACAGUAGGUCAAAACUGUGAUUUUAGACGAGUUCCCCAUAAGAGGACCUCGGGGUUCCCGAAACGUUCGGAUCUCACGGGGACCCAAAAUCAAUGAGUAAAUAGCAUACAAAACAGGUGAGAUUAGGCCAAAACUGCGAGUUUUGACGAGUUCCGCAUUACCAGACCCCCGGGUUCCCAAAACGUUUGGAUCACAUCGGUACCCAAAAUCAGUGACUAAUAGGAUAGAAAACUGGCCGGAAUAGGCCAAAACUGCGAGUUUUGACGAGUUCCUCAUAACCACACACCGCGGUUCCCGAAACAUUCGAAUCGCAGAGGAUCCAAAAUCACUCACUAAUGGCAUUGAAAACUGGCCAUAAUAGGGCAAAAGUGCGAGUUUUGGAGAGUUCCCCAUAACCGGACCGAGGGAUUCCCGAAACAUUCAGAUCACAGCGGGAUCCAAAAUAAGUGACUAACAACAUACAAAACUAGCCACAAUAGGCCAAAAGUGUGAGUUUUGACGAGUUCCCCUUAACCAGACCCCGAGGUUCCCGAAACAUUUGGAUCAGUGCGGGGCCCAAAAUGAGUAACUAAUAGCAUACAAAACUGGGGGGAAUAGGCUAGAACUGCGAGUUUUGACGAGUUCCCGUAACCGGACCCAAGGGUUCCCGAAACGUUCGGAUCACAGCGGGACCCAAAAUCAGUGAGUAAUAGCAUACGAAACUAGCCAGAAUAGACAAAAACUGUGAGUUUUGAUGAGUUACCCGUAACCGGACUCCGGGGUUCCCAAAACGUUCACACGCCGAAACGAAAAUCGGUGAGUAAUAGCAUACAAAACCGCCCGGAAUAGGCCAAAACUACGAGUUUUCACGAUUUCCCCUUAACAGGAGCUCGGCGUUCCCGAAACGUUCGGAUCGUAGCGGGUCCCAAAAUCAGUGAAUAAUAGCAUACAAAAUUGCCCGGAUUAGGCCAAAACUGCGAGUUUUCACGAUUUCNNNNNNNNNNNNNNNNNNNNNNNNNNNNNNNNNNNNNNNNNNNNNNNNNNNNNNNNNNNNNNNNNNNNNNNNNNNNNNNNNNNNNNNNNNNNNNNNNNNNNNNNNNNNNNNNNNNNNNNNNNNNNNNNNNNNNNNNNNNNNNNNNNNNNNNNNNNNNNNNNNNNNNNNNNNNNNNNNNNNNNNNNNNNNNNNNNNNNNNNNNNNNNNNNNNNNNNNNNNNNNNNNNNNNNNNNNNNNNNNNNNNNNNNNNNNNNNNNNNNNNNNNNNNNNNNNNNNNNNNNNNNNNNNNNNNNNNNNNNNNNNNNNNNNNNNNNNNNNNNNNNNNNNNNNNNNNNNNNNNNNNNNNNNNNNNNNNNNNNNNNNNNNNNNNNNNNNNNNNNNNNNNNNNNNNNNNNNNNNNNNNNNNNNNNNNNNNNNNNNNNNNNNNNNNNNNNNNNNNNNNNNNNNNNNNNNNNNNNNNNNNNNNNNNNNNNNNNNNNNNNNNNNNNNNNNNNNNNNNNNNNNNNNNNNNNNNNNNNNNNNNNNNNNNNNNNNNNNNNNNNNNNNNNNNNNNNNNNNNNNNNNNNNNNNNNNNNNNNNNNNNNNNNNNNNNNNNNNNNNNNNNNNNNNNNNNNNNNNNNNNNNNNNNNNNNNNNNNNNNNNNNNNNNNNNNNNNNNNNNNNNNNNNNNNNNNNNNNNNNNNNNNNNNNNNNNNNNNNNNNNNNNNNNNNNNNNNNNNNNNNNNNNNNNNNNNNNNNNNNNNNNNNNNNNNNNNNNNNNNNNNNNNNNNNNNNNNNNNNNNNNNNNNNNNNNNNNNNNNNNNNNNNNNNNNNNNNNNNNNNNNNNNNNNNNNNNNNNNNNNNNNNNNNNNNNNNNNNNNNNNNNNNNNNNNNNNNNNNNNNNNNNNNNNNNNNNNNNNNNNNNNNNNNNNNNNNNNNNNNNNNNNNNNNNNNNNNNNNNNNNNNNNNNNNNNNNNNNNNNNNNNNNNNNNNNNNNNNNNNAUACAAAACUGGUCGGAAUAGGCCAAAACUGCGAUUUUGACGAGUUCCCUGUAACCGGACCCAAGGGCUCCCGAAACAUUUGGAUGACAUCGGGACCCAAAAACAGUUACUAUUAGCAUACAAAACUGACAUGAAUAGGGUGAAACUGCAAGUUUUGACGAGUUCCCCGUAAAUGGACCCCGAGGUUCCCGAAACGCUCGGAUCACAGCGGGACCCAAAAUCAGUGACUUACAAAACUGGCCAGAAUAGGCCAAAACUGGGAGGUUUUACGAGUUCCCCGUAACCGGACCCAAGGGUUCCUGAAACAUUCGGUUCACAUCGAGACCCAAAAUCAGUGACUAAUAGCAUACAAAACUUGCCGGAAUAGGCCAAAACUAUGAGUUUUGACGAGUUCCCCGUAACCAGACCCCAGGGUUCCCGAAACAUUCAGAUCACAACGGGCCCACAAAUCAGUGACUAAUGGCAUACGAAACUCGCCGAAAUAGGCCCAAACUGGGAGUUUUCACGAGUUCCCCGUAACCGGACCCCGGGGUUCCCGAAACGUUCGAAUCGCUGCAGGACUCAAAAUCAGUGACUAAUAGCAUGCAAAACUAGCCAGAAUAGGCCAAAACUGUGAAAUUUGCGAGUUCCAUGUAACCGGACCCCGGGGUCCCAAAACGAUCUGAUCACAACGGGACCCAAAAUCAGUGACUAAUAGCAUAGAAAAUUGGCCAAAAUAGGCCAAAACUGUGAGUUUUGGCGAGUUCUCCGUAACCGGACCCCGGGGUUUCCAGAAUGUUUGGAUCGCAGGAGGACCCAGAAUCAGUGACUAAUAACAUACAAAACUAGUGAAAAUAGACAAGGCAUGCAAACAAGAGGGAGACUUUACAAGGAUCGCAUUGGGCUUGUUGAGGCUAUUGGCCCAUAAACAACAACAAACACUAUACUUCUUUGGCUUCAGGAAGGCCACAGUGCUUAUAGGCCACUCCUAGCAUCGGGUCGCCGGCCCAAAGUUUCGGUCGGUCGCACCCUAACCGUCCGAUGCAGUGUAUCGGGUCCGUCCGAUCUACACCUCAAACCCCAACUCUUUCUUCUUCCUCCCGAUCAGAGCUUUCAGGUAAAUGUAGCACGUGUCGGUCGCCAUUGACGUUCCUUUCUGGCAUCGAGGUCGCUUGUUCCGAAUGUGGCAUGCCCUCAGGUAGCCGUGGCUCUUGUCGGCUCCGCCGCAAGCAACUUCUAUUGGCAAAGGUCGUAGUUCCGGCAAACGGAGUGAUGCCCCGUCCAACUUGUAGCAACAUCUUUCAUCAUCGACGAACACAUCUCAGACGAAAGCCAUCCAGUAAUAGGUCACUCGGUUUCAUCACUGUUGCAACUCCGCAAUGGAGCCAUCACAGUAGUCGGUUACUUAAAAAGAAUGGUUGAAGCAUUUCAAAAAUAGGGUUGAAGCUUUUCAUGCCAAUGAUUGCAACUUCUUUGGAUGUGUACUCACGGGUUGAAGCUUUUUACGAAGAUGAUUGAAGCUUUUCAUAAAGCGGGACGAUGCUUUCCAAUUCAAUAGUUGAUGCUUCCCAAUUCAGUGGAUGCAAAUUUUUCGUGCUCGAUGGCCCGGCAAGUAGCUUCUUUGUGUUGUCGGUUGAAGCUUUCCCGCCGGUGGUUGUAGCUUCCCGGGCCACUAGUUGCAACUUUUGUUGCGGGAGUGCGCCAGCGACCAUCAUCUUCGUCUUUCUUUUGAAACUGUUUAUGUUGCCAGUUGAAGCUAUCUGGGGUACCGGUUGUAGCAUUUCGGGCUGGUGGUUGCAACUUCCCUCACGCGUCAGUUGAAGCCCCCACCUAGCUGGUUUCGCCAAAACUAAAUGACAGUUCUAACAUUUACCACCGUUGGUUCUAGCUCUGCAACAUGUUGGUUGUAGUUUGCGUUGCAUGGUCAUAACUUACAAUACCGACGAUGGUCCUCCCGUUGCAGUAGCUCUGUCGGCCACAAAACUAAGAGCUAUUCUAGUCGUAGCUUCGACUAUCGAUGGUCGCGCUGCUUGGCUGCUGGUCGUAGCAUCCGGUGCUCGGUUCCGUUGCGCACGACCAUGGCGAAAAGCGUGGCCAUGGAAAUGUUGGAAAUAUGCCCUAGAGGCAAUAAUAAAAUGGUUAUUAUCAUAUUUCCUUGUUCAUGAUAAUCGUCUAUCGUUCAUGCUAUAAUUGUAUUAACAGGAAACAGUAAUACAUGUGUGAAUGAAUAGAUCACAAUGUGUCCCUAGCAAGCCUCUAGUUGGCUAGCUCGUUAGUCAAUAGAUGAUCAUGGUUUCCUGAUCAUGGGCAUUAGAUGUCAUUGAUAACGGGAUCACAUCAUUGGGAGAAUGAUGUGGUGGACAAGACCCAAUCCUAAGCCUAGCACUAGAUCGUAUUGUUCGUAUGCUAAUGCUUUUCUAAUGUCAAGUAUCUUUUCCUUCGACCGUGAGAUUGUGCAACUCCCGGAUACCGUAGGAGUGCUUUGGGUGUAUCAAACGUCACAACGUAACUGGGUGACUAUAAAGGUGCACUACGGGUACCUCCGAAAGUGUCUGUUGGGUUGGCACGAAUCGAGAUCGGGAUUUGUCACUCCGUGUGACGGAGAGGUAUCUCUGGGCCCACUCGGUAGAACAUCAUCAUGAGCUCAAUGUGACUAAGGAGUUAGUCACACGAUUACGUGCUACGGAACGAGUAAAGAGACUUACCGGUAACGAGAUUGAACAAGGUAUAGGUAUACCGACGAUCGAAUCUCGGGCAAGUUCUAUACCGACAGACAAAGGGAAUCGUAUACGGGAUUGAUUGAAUCCUUGACAUCGUGGUUCAUCCGAUGAGAUCAUCAUGGAGCUAGUGGGAGCCACCAUGGGUAUCCAGACCCCGCUGAUGGUUACUGGCCAGAGAGGUGUCUCGGUCAUGUCUGCCUGUCUCCCGAACCCGUAGGGUCUACACACUUAAGGUUCGAUGACGCUAGGGUUAUAGGGAAUUGUUGUACGAGGUUAUCAAAAUUUGUUCGGAGUCCCGGAUGAGAUCCCGGACGUCAUGAGGAGCUCCGGAAUGGUCCGGAGGUAAAUAUUGAUAUAUAGGGCGGAUGGUUUCGGACACCGGAAGUGUUUCGGGCAUCACCGGUAACGUACCGGGACCACCGGGACCACCGGAGGUGGUCCCGGGGGACCACCGAAGGGGGGUGACGACCCCGGGAGGCUAGAUGGGAUAAGUGGGGAAGGGAACCAGCUCCUAAGUGGGCUGGUGCGCCCCCCACCCAGCCCAUGUGCACCAGAAAAAGGGGGAAGGGGGGGAACCCAAACUUAGGUGGGCCUUAGGCCCACCAGAGGGGUGCGCCACCCCUCCUCCUUGCCCUGGCCGCCACACCCCCCAUCUGGGAGGGCUGCCGCACCCCCUAGGGUGGGAACCCUAGGGGUGGCACCCCCUCUCCGCUUCCCCUAUAUAUAGUGGGCACUUUUGGCCUUUGGAGGACACGGUUUUCCCUCUCCCUCGGCGCAGCCCUCCACUUCUUCCUCCUCCUCUCUGCCGGCGCUUGGCGAAGCCCUGUCGGGAGACCUCGUCUCUCCACCAACACCACGCCGUCGUGUUGCUGGUCUUCUUCCCCAACCUCUCCCUCCUCCUUGCUGGAUCAAGGUGCGGGAGACGUCACCGGGCUGCACGUGUGUUGAACGCGGAGGUGCCGUUGUUCGGCACUAGAUCGGAAUCGAUGCGAGUACGACUCCAUCAACCGCGUUCUAGCAACGCUUCCGCUUAGCGAUCUUCAAAGGUACGAAGAUGCUCUUACCCCUCUCUCGUUGCUGGUCUCUCCAUAGGAAGAUCUGAACAUGCGUAGGAAAAAAUUUGAAUUUAUGCUACGUUACCCAACAGUGGCAUCCGAGCCAGGUUUUCUAUGCGUAGAUUCUAUGCACGAGUAGAACACAAAAGUUGUGGGCGAUGGUUUGUCAAUUUGCUUGCCGUUACUAGUCUUAUUCUUUUCCAGCGGUAUUGUGGGAUGAAGCGGCCCGGACCGACCUUACACGUACGCUUACGUGAGACUGGUUCCACCGACAGACAUGCACAUCGUGCAUAAAGGUGGCUAGCGGGUGUCUGUCUCUCCUACUCUAGUCGGAUUGGAUUUGAUGAAAAGGGUCCUUAUGAAGGGUAAAUAGCUUUGGCAUAUCAUCGUUGUGGCUGUCACGUAGGUAAGAAGGCGUUCUUGCUAGAAACCCAAAUCAGCCACGUAAAACUUGGAACAACAAUUAGAGGACGUCUAACUUGUUUUUGCAGGGUUUGACAUGUGAUGUGAUAUGGCCAAAGUUGUGAUGUUGCAUGUAUGAUGUAUGAGAUGAUCAUGUUAUUGUAAUAGGUUUCACGACUUGCAUGUCGAUGAGUAUGACAACCGGCAGGAGCCAUAGGAGUUGUCUUAAUUUAUUGUAUGAGAUGCAACGCCAUGUACUUACUAUUUUACUUCAUUGCUAACGGUUAGCCAUAGUAGUAGUGAUAGUAGUAGUUGGCGUGACGAAUUCACGGAGACACGAUGAUGGAGAUCAUGGUGUCAUGCCGGUGACGAUGAUGAUCAUGCGAUGCCUGAAGAUGGAGAUCGAAAGAGCAAAGAUGAUAAUGGCCAUAUCAUGUCACUAUAUGAUUGCAUUGUGAUGUUUAUCAUGUUUUACAUCUUAUUGCUUAAAACGACGGUAGCAUAAUAAGAUGGUCCCUCUUAAAAUUUCGAGAGCGUAUUCCCCUAAGUGUGCACCGUUGCGAAGGUUCGUUGUCUCGAAGCACCACAUGAUCAUCGGGUGUGAUAGAUUCUAAUGUUCGCAUACAACGGGUGUAAGCCAGAUUUACACACGCGAAACACUUAGGUUGACUCGACGAGCUUAGCAUGUACAGACAUGACCUCGAAUACAAGAGACCGAAAGGUCGAACAUGAGUCGUAUGGUUGAAUACGAUCAGCAUGAAGUUGCUCACCAUGGUGACUAGUCCGUCUCACGUGAUGAUCGGACACGGGUUAGUCAACAUGGAUCAUGUAUCACUUAGAUGACUAGAGGGAUGUCGAUUUGAGUGGGAGUUCAACUUAAUUUGAUUAAAUGAACUUAAUUGUCAUGAACUUAGUCUAAAAGUUGUCUUUACAAAUAUUGUAGAUGUCCAACGUCAACCUCAAGUUCAAUGCAUUCCUAGAGAAAAACAAGCUGAAAGAUGAUGGUAGCAACUAUGCGGACUGGGUUCGCAACCUGAAGCUCAUCCUUGAAGAAGCUAAAAAGGCUUAUGUUCUUAAUGCGCCGCUAGGUGACCCUCCCACUCCCGCAGCAGCCCAGGACAUUCUAAACGUCUGGCAAGCGCGGAGUGAUGACUACUCUCUGGUCAGGUGUGGCAUGUUAUACAGUUUAGAAACGGGGCUCCAAAGACGUUUUGAGCAACACGGGGCAUAUGAGAUGUUCCAAGAGCUGAAGCUAGUUUUUCAAGCUCAUGCCCGUGUCGAGAGAUAUGAAGUCUCCGACAAGUUCUUCAGCUGUAAGAUGGAGGAGAACAAUUCUGUCAGUGAGCACAUACUCAAAAUGUCUGGGUUACACGGUCGUCCGACUUCACUUGGAGUCGAACUUCCGGAUGAUGCUAUCAUUGACAGAAUCCUCCAGUCUCUCCCACCAAGCUACAAAGGCUUUGUGCUUAACUACAACAUGCAAGGGAUGGAGAAAACCAUUCCCGAGUUGUACUCGAUGCUCAAGUCUGCAGAAGUAGAAAUCAAGAAGGAGCAUCAAGUGUUGAUGGUCAACAAGACCACUAGUUUCAAGAAAGGCAGGGGUAAGAAGAACUUCAAGAAAGACGGCAAAGCUGUUGCCGCGCCCGGUAAGCCAGAUGCCGGGAAGAAGAAAAAGAACGGACCCAAGCCUCAGACUGAGUGCUUCUACUGCAAGGGAAAAGGUCACUCGAAGCGGAACUGCCCCAAAUACUUAGCGGACAAGAAGGCCGGCAACGUUAAAGGUAUAUGUGAUAUACAUGUUAUUGAUGUAUACCUUACCAGCGCUCGUAGUAGCUCCUGGGUAUUUGAUACCGGUGCUGUUGCUCACAUUUGCAACUCAAAGCAGGAACUGCGGAAUAAGCGGAGACUGGCCAAGGACGAGGUGACGAUGCGCGUCGGGAAUGGUUCAAAGGUCGAUGUGAUCGCCGUCGGCACGCUACCUCUACAUCUACCGUCGGGAUUAGUUUUAAACCUUAAUAAUUGUUAUUUAGUACCAGCUUUAAGCAUGAACAUUGUAUCAGGGUCUUGCUUAAUGCGAGACGGCUACUCAUUUAAGUCAGAGAAUAAUGGUUGUUCUAUUUAUAUGAGUGAUAUGUUUUAUGGUCAUGCUCCGCUGGUGAAUGGUUUAUUCUUGAUGAAUCUCGAUCAUGAUGUUACACAUAUUCAUAGUGUGAGUACCAAAAGAUGCAAAGUUGAUAAUGAUAGUCCCACAUACUUGUGGCACUGCCGCCUUGGUCAUAUCGGCGUUAAGCGCAUGAAGAAGCUCCAUACUGAUGGACUGCUAGAGUCUCUUGACUUUGAAUCAUUUGACACAUGCGAACCGUGCCUCAUGGGCAAGAUGACUAAGACUCCAUUCUCAGGAAUAAUGGAGAGAGCCACCGACUUAUUGGAAAUAAUACAUACUGAUGUGUGUGGUCCAAUGAACGUUGAAGCUCGCGGUGGUUAUCGUUAUGUUCUCACUCUCACCGAUGAUUUGAGUAGGUAUGGGUAUAUCUACUUGAUGAAGCACAAAUCUGAGACGAUUGAAAAGUUCAAGGAAUUUCAGAAUGAGGUUGAGAAUCAACGUGACAGAAAAAUUAAAUGUCUACGAUCUGAUCGUGGAGGAGAAUAUUUGAGUCAUGAGUUUGGCACACACCUAAGGAAGUGUGGAAUCGUUUCACAACUAACGCCGCCUGGCACACCGCAGCGCAACGGAGUGUCUGAACGUCGUAAUCGCACCUUAUUAGAUAUGGUACGAUCUAUGAUGUCUCUCACCGACUUACCGCUAUCAUUUUGGGGAUACGCAUUAGAAACUGCAGCAUUCACUUUAAAUAGGGCACCGUCCAAAUCCGUUGAGACGACACCGUAUGAACUAUGGUUUGGCAAGAAAUCUAAGUUGUCGUUUCUUAAAGUUUGGGGCUGCGAUGCUUAUGUGAAGAAACUUCAACCAGAAAAGCUCGAACCCAAAGCGGAAAAAUGCGUAUUCAUAGGAUACCCUAAGGAAACUAUUGGGUAUACCUUCUAUCUUAGAUCCGAAGGUAAAACCUUUGUUGCCAAGAACGGAUCCUUUCUAGAGAAAGAGUUUCUUUCGAAAGAAGUAAGUGGGAGGAAGGUAGAACUUGAUGAGGUAAUUGCACCCCCUCUCGAACAGGAAAGUAGCGCAACGCAAGAAGUUGUUCAUGUGGUGCCUACACCGACUAAAGAGGAAGUUAAUGAUGAUGAUCAUGAAGCUUCGGAUCAAGUUACUACUGAACCGCGAAGGUCCACAAGGGUACGCUCCGCACCAAAGUGGUACGGCAACCCUGUGAUGGAAAUCAUGUUGUUAGACAACGGUGAACCUUCGAACUAUGAAGAAGCAAUGGCGGGCCCAGAUUCCAACAAAUGGCUUGAAGCCAUGAAAUCCGAGAUAGGAUCCAUGUAUGAGAACAAAGUAUGGACUUUGGUGGACUUGUCUGAUGACCGGCGAGCCAUAGAAAAUAAAUGGAUCUUCAAGAAGAAGACUGAUGCAAACGGUAAUGUAACCGUUUACAAAGCUCGACUUGUCGCAAAGGGUUUUUGACAAAUUCAAGGAGUUGACUACGAAGAGACUUUCUCUCCCGUAGCGAAGCUGAAAUCAGUCUGAAUCAUGUUAGCAAUUGCCGCCUUUUUAUGAUUAUGAAAUUUGGCAAAUGGACGUCAAAACAGCUUUCCUUAACGGGAAUCUUAAGGAAGAGCUGUAUAUGAUGCAACCAGAAGGUUUUGUCGAUCCUAAAGGUGCUAACAAAGUAUGCAAGCUCCAGCGCUCCAUCUAUGGGCUGGUGCAAGCAUCUCGGAGUUGGAACAUUCGCUUUAAUGAGGUGAUCAAAGCGUUUGGGUUCAUACAGGUUUACGGAGAAGCCUGUUUGUACAAGAAAGUGAGUGGGAGCUCUGUAGCUUUCCUCGUACUAUAUGUGGAUGACAUAUUAUUGAUGGGGAAUGAUAUAGAGAUGUUGGAGAGCAUAAAGGCCUAUUUGAACAUGAGUUUUUCAAUGAAGGACCUUGGAGAAGCUGCAUACAUAUUAGGCAUCAAGAUCUAUAGAGAUAGAUCGAGACGCCUCAUAGGUCUUUCGCAAAGUACAUACCUUGACAAGAUACUGAAGAAGUUCAAUAUGGAAAACUCAAAGAAAGGGUUCUUGCCAGUUUUGCAAGGUAUGAGAUUGAGUAAGACUCAGUCGCCGACCACGACAGCAGAUAGAGAGAAGAUGAGUUCUGUCCCCUACGCUUCAGCCGUGGGCUCUCUAAUGUAUGCCAUGUUGUGUACCAGACCUGAUAUAAACCUUGCGAUAAGCUUGGUAGGGAGGUACCAAAGUAAUCCCGGUGCGGAACACUGGACAGCGGUCAAGAAUAUCCUUAAGUACCUGAAAAGGACUAAGGAAAUGUUUCUCGUUUAUCGAGGUGACGAAGAGCUCGUCGUAAAGGGUUACGUCGACGCUAGCUUCGACACAGAUCCGGAUGACUCUAAGUCACAAACCGGAUACGUAUAUGUGUUGAAUGGUGGGGCAGUGAGCUGGUGCAGCAGCAAGCAAGAAGUCGUGGCAGCAUCUACAUGUGAAGCGGAGUACAUAGCUGCUUCAGAAGCGGCUCAUGAAGGAAUUUGGAUGAAGGAGCUCAUCACCGACCUUGGAGUGGUUCCAAGCGCGUCGGGUCCUAUGAAACUCUUCUGUGAUAACACUGGAGCCGUUGCCAUAGCCAAGGAGCCCAGGUUUCACCGGAAGACGAAGCACAUCAAGCGCGGCUACAACUCCAUCCAGGACCAUGUCCAGAGUGGAGUGAUAGAUAUUUGUAAAGUACACACGGAUCUGAAUAUUGCAGACCCGUUGACUAAACCUCUUCCACGAGCAAAACAUGAUCAACACCAUGAUGCUAUGGGUGUUCGAUACAUCACAAUGUAACUAGAUUAUUGACUCUAGUGCAAGUGGGAGACUGUUGGAAAUAUGCCCUAGAGGCAAUAAUAAAAUGGUUAUUAUCAUAUUUCCUUGUUCAUGAUAAUCGUCUAUCGUUCAUGCUAUAAUUGUAUUAACAGGAAACAAUAAUACAUGUGUGAAUGAAUAGAUCACAAUGUGUCCCUAGCAAGCCUCUAGUUGGCUAACUCGUUAGUCAAUAGAUGAUCAUGGUUUCCUGAUCAUGGGCAUUAGAUGUCAUUGAUAACGGGAUCACAUCAUUGGGAGAAUGAUGUGGUGGACAAGACCCAAUCUUAAGCCUAGCACUAGAUCGUAUUGUUCGUAUGCUAAUGCUUUUCUAAUGUCAAGUAUCUUUUCCUUCGACCGUGAGAUUGUGCAACUCCCGGAUACCGUAGGAGUGCUUUGGGUGUAUCAAACGUCACAACGUAACUGGGUGACUAUAAAGGUGCACUACGGGUACCUCCGAAAGUGUCUGUUGGGUUGGCACGAAUCGAGAUCGGGAUUUGUCACUCCGUGUGACGGAGAGGUAUCUCUGGGCCCACUCGGUAGAACAUCAUCAUGAGCUCAAUGUGACUAAGGAGUUAGUCACACGAUGACGUGCUACGGAACGAGUAAAGAGACUUACCGGUAACGAGAUUGAACAAGGUAUAGGUAUACCGACGAUCGAAUCUCGGGCAAGUUCUAUACCGACAGACAAAGGGAAUCGUAUACGGGAUUGAUUGAAUCCUUGACAUCGUGGUUCAUCCGAUGAGAUCAUCGUGGAGCUAGUGGGAGCCACCAUGGGUAUCCAGACCCCGCUGAUGGUUAUUGGCCAGAGAGGUGUCUCGGUCAUGUCUGCCUGUCUCCCGAACCCGUAGGGUCUACACACUUAAGGUUCGAUGACGCUAGGGUUAUAGGGAAUUGUUGUACGAGGUUAUCGAAAUUUGUUCGGAGUCCCAGAUGAGAUCCCGGACGUCAUGAGGAGCUCCGGAAUGGUCCGGAGGUAAAGAUUGAUAUAUAGGACGGAUGGUUUCGGACACCGGAAGUGUUUCGGGCAUCACCGGUAACGUACCAGGACCACCGGGACCACCGGAGGUGGUCCCGGGGGACCACCGAAGGGGGGUGACGACCCCGGGAGGCUAGAUGGGCUAAGUGGGGUUGGGAACCAGCCCCUAAGUGGGCUGGUGCGCCCCCCACCCAGCCCAUGUGCACCAGAAAAAGGGGGAAGGGGGGGAACCCUAACUUAGGUGGGCCUUAGGCCCACCAGAGGGGUGCGCCACCCCUCCUCCUUGCCCUGGCCGCCACACCCUCCAUCUGGGAGGGCUGCCGCACCCCCUAGGGUGGGAACCCUAGGGGUGGCACCCCCUCUCCCCUUCCCCUAUAUAUAGUGGGCACUUUUGGCCUUUGGAGGACACGGUUUUCCCUCUCCCUCGGCGCAGCCCUGCACUUCUUCCUCCUCCUCUCUGCCGGCGCUUGGCGAAGCCCUGCCGGGAGACCUCGUCUCUCCACCAACACCACGCCGUCGUGUUGCUGGUCUUCUUCCCCAACCUCUCCCUCCUCCUUGCUGGAUCAAGGUGCGGGAGACGUCACCGGGCUGCACGUGUGUUGAACGCGGAUGUGCCGUUGUUCGGCACUAGAUCGGAAUCGCUGCGAGUACGACUCCAUCAACCGCGUUCUAGCAACGCUUCCGCUUAGCGAUCUUCAAAGGUAUGAAGAUGCUCUUACCCCUCUCUCGUUGCUGGUCUCUCCAUAGGAAGAUCUGAACAUGCGUAGGAAAAAAUUUGAAUUUAUGCUACGUUACCCAACAGGAAACAGCACGACAGAGUGGCCCCGAAGGGCGCACGAACGACACAUGAGGCAGGAGCUGAGGCCGGUCUGGAUCCAAGGAGUUUGUUGUCUGGGAAAAUUUGUUGGUGUUAAAUUCGCGAGGAAGAAGGAUGUGGGCGUUUUGGGAAAGGAUAAAGGUGUACAUGUUGCCUUCGUGGCUACUUUCAUUUAAAGCGCCAGCAUGACGAAGUGACCGACCCGAGCGUUCCGCCAGCGCACCGCACGCGAACGCUUACCCAUGCUUAUAUGCCUAAAAACAAAGUGGGUAUGAGCUUUGCUACUUCAAAUGGUAAAUGGUUGGCAUACAAAUGUCUUUUUUCUAUUCUUUACUUGCGAUUUAGCAUACAAAUAUCAGUGUCGCAAAAACAGCAGCGCCUAGACUAUCGCGCUGAUCAACAUUGUUUCAAAUGCUUGAUGUAGAGGCAUGGGAGACCAUCAAGAUCCUGCACCAAGGUCAUGACCGUGUCAAGGAAGCACACCUUCAAUCCCUGAUGAGAAGCUGUGAGUGCCUGAAGAUGGAGGAAAGCGAGGCGGUUGAUCAGUUUGCCUCCCGUCUCUCGACCCUCGUCAAUGGCAUACGUGGCUAUGGUUCAACCCUAGAAGAAGUUGCAAUCGUCUGGCGAUUUUUGCGCGCCGCGCCGGCACCCUACAUCCAGAUCAUCACAUCGACCGAGCAAUGUCUCAAUCUAAAGACUCUCACGGUCGAGGAUCUCGUCGGAAGUUUCAAGGCUCAUGAUGAGAGAAUUUGUCUCAGUUUCAAUGAUGCGAAGGCGAGUGAGCACCUGAUACUGACAAAGGCGCAAUGGAUUACCCUGUCAAAAGAACAGUAGGGCGGAUCCACGAGCAGCAGCAAGAAAAAGGGGAAGGGGAAGCAGCGCUCAGCGAGAAAGAACUUCGCCGGCUCGGGUGACGAGGAUGCGUUUGCACCACCGAGGAGGAAGUUUGACAUCAGAAAAGUGAGAUGUCAUAAGUGUGGCCUCCUAGGUCACUUCAAGGCUGACUGCGAGGAAGCACCGAAGCAACAGACGCUCAUCGCCGAGGAAGGAGACGACGGGGAUAUGAUGCUGAUGUGCGAGCUAGUGGACGAAGAGGAUCCAGAUGAUCUUGGUCAGCUGGAAACGGGUCCGGUGAGUGCAUCCGUGCUAGUAAACCUAGGCGAAGGCGUGCCUGCAAACAAGGGGGAGACUUCACAAGGAUCGCAUCGGGCUUGUUCAGGCUAUUCGCCCCAUAAACAACACCAAUAGACACUGUAUUUCUUCGGCUUCAGGAAGGCCACAAUGCUUAUAGGCCACACCUAGCACCGCGGCACCGGCCGAAAGUUUCGGCCGGUCGCACCCCAACCGUCCGAUGCGGUUUAUCGGGUCCAUCCGAUCUGCACCUCAACCCCUAACUCUUUCUUCUUCCUCCCGAUCAGAGCUUUCAGGGAAAUGCAGCGCGUGUCUGUCACCAUUGACAUUCCUUUCUGACGUUAGAGUCGCUUGUUCCCAACGUGGUCUGCCCUCAAUUAGUCGUGGUUCUCGUUGGCUCGGCCGCAAGCAGCUCCUAUUGACAAAGGUCGCAGUUUCGGCGAACGGAGUGACGCCCGGUCCAACUUGUAGCAACGCCGUUCAUCGUCGACGGACACAUCUCCGACAAAAGCUAUCCAGUAGUCGGUCAGUCGGUUUUAUCACUGUUGCAGCUCCACAAUAAAGCCAUCGCGGUAGUCGGAUACAUAAAAAAAUGGUUGAAGCUUUUCAAAAAUAGGGUUGAAGCUUUUCAUGCCAAUGAUUGCAGCUUUUUUGUUAUGUACUCGCGGGUUGAAGCUUUUUAUAAAGCGGGGCGAUGCUUUUCAAUUCAAUAGUUGAUGCUUCCCAAUUCAGUGGAUACAACUUUUUUGUGCUCGAUGGCCCAGCGACUAGCUACUUUGUGUUUUCGGUUGAAGCUUUCCCGCCAGCGGUUGUAGCUUUCCGGGCCACCAGUUGCGGCUUUUGUUGCGGGAGUGCGCCGACGACCAUCAUGUUCGUCUUUCUUUUGAAACUCUUUAUGUUGCCGGUUGAAGCUAUCUGGGGUACCGGUUGUAGCAUUUUGCGUCGCUCGUUGCAACUUCCCUCACGCGUCGAUUGAAGCCCCCACCUAGCUGGUUCCGGCAAAACUAAAUGACAGUUGUAACAUUUUCCACGGUUGGUUCUAGCUCCGCAACAUGCUGGUGGUAGUUUGUGUUGUAUGGUCACAACUUACAACACCGAUGUUGGUCCUCCCCCCCGUAAUAGCUCCGCCGGCCACAAAACUAAGAGCUACUCUGGUCGCAGCUUUGGCUAUCGAUGAUCGCACCGCUUGGCUGCUGAUCGUAGCAUGUGGUGCUCGGUUCCGUUGCGCAUGGCCAUGGCAAAGAGCGUGGCCAUGGAAACGACACGGAAGCAUUGUCACGAGGGGCGCACGAACGACACAUGAGACAGGAGCUGAGGCCAGCCUGGAUCCAUGAAGUUUGCUAUCCGGGAAACUUUUUUGGUGUGAAAGUCGCAAUGAAGAUGAUGGUCGCGAGGAAGGAGUGGAUGCAUGCGUUUGGGGAAGGAUAAAGGCAUACAUGUUGCCUCCCUGGUGGCUAUUUUCAUCAAAGCGCCAGCACGACCGACCCGGGCAUCCCGCCAGCGCACCGCACACAAACGUUACCAUACUUAUAUGCCUAAAAAUAAAGUGGGUAUGAGCUUUGCUAGUUCAAAUGGUAAAGGGUUGGCAUACAAAUGUCUUUUUUCUUUUCUUUUUUUGCGAUUUAGCAUAUAAAUACCAGUGUCACAAAAACAGCAGCGUCUAGCCUAUCCCGCUGAUCAACUGUAGAAGUAUUUCAAAUGCUUGAUGUAGAGAUCAGAACCAGUAGUUAAUUAGUUGCCUCCUGGUAGCUUCGGAGCAAACAUGAAAGCCGUCGCUGGUAGCUUCCCAGCAAACUUCAAAGCCAGCUGGUAAUUCGCUAUAUUGUUUCCUUUCUCUUUUUCGUUCUUCUUCCAUGGUUUUUUUGUUUCCGUGUUUUACACUAACACCCCCCCCCCCCUCAGUGGUUUUCUUCUAUUUAUUCACUUAUUCUUCUUUUCCUUUUUGUUCUUUUUUCUAUGUUUUCAUAGAUUCAUUUAAAAAAAUAGGAGUUCACAAAAUUGUUUGCUAUUUCAAAAAGUAUCCACUUCUGCAAAAAAUUAUUGGACUUCAAGUUCUGUUUUAGUUAUUUUACAAUUUGUUCAUGUUUUAAAAUUUUCUUUGCAUUUCAAAAUACUGUUCACUCAUGAUUUUUAAUAAUCGUUCAAAGAAAAUAAAAAAUGUUUCGAAUUUCAAUUUUUUUCAGUUAUUUAAAUUUCUUCAUGUUUUAAUAAAUUGUUUUAGAUUAGAAGAUUGUUCUUCGGACUUGAAAAUUGAUUCACUAUUUUUGGUAACAACUCGAAAUUUUAAUUUUAAUCAUGUUUUUCAAAAUUAGUUCAUGUUUUAUUUUAUUUUCAUGUUUUAAAAAAAAUGUUCACCAUUUUCAAAAUGUUGACAAACUGGAAUAAGUCUUGACAUUUUCGAUAAAUUGUUAAUGGUUGUGAAUUUUAAUUUGCAAUUUUAAAAAAAAUCGGUUUAGCUUUUUCAAGUAUAUAUGUAUGUUCAGUUUUCUGAAAAUUUAAAAAUAUAUUCAAAACGCUCGGCUACAGUGACCUCUGAUUGGUGUGGCCCAUUUUUUCUCGCCCGGCCCUGUGCGUCCUCUCGUCCGUACAAGCCGGAUCAUCUUGGUAAUCGUUCGUGUCCAAACAGUAGGUAUGAUUUGAAAUAACGUCCCAUGUUGUCUUUCAUAUCCACAUAUUGAUUUGAGCUAUCCCUCAGAAGUCUUCCCUAGCUAGGCAAUCUCAUCUUGGGUUCCAUGUUUUCCUGCAUGGCCGAUCUAACACGUGCGUCAAGACAGGGGUGGGUGCGAGCAGAGGAAGGAAGGAACUGAUGAAAGCGAGAGCAAAUGCAGUCGACCGGGGUACGGUGGAAGGGAGUUAGGGCAAGGUUAUAAGGAAGCGGAGAACACCCCUUUUUAGGAAAAGGAGGAACGAAGCCCAUGAAAAGGUGGAAUCAUCGGAGGAGGCAGCAGUGAGAGUUCUCGAAGGAGAAGCUCAAGACAGAAGCGGAGAACACCCCUUUUUUGUGAAGCUGAUUAUUUUUAAGGAAGCCCGAAUAGUGGGGGGGGGGGGUUAGGGAGGAAAGGCGUGGCCGAAGAGAGGGUAGAGGGGAGGAAGGACUGCAAGAGGCUGGGAUGGAGGUAGAGGUAGAGGCAGAGGCAUGGCAUCAUUCUCAUCACCUGAAUCAUAAAGUUUAUCAUGUAUAUUCCAAUCACACUUAGCAUUCGACGAGCAUACAACCCAAUAGCCUCUUCUUCUUUAGAUUUUCAUCAUUAUCUAUUGGCUCAAAGUAUGUACCAUAUUUGAAAACUUCACAAGUUAGCAUUUCUUUGCUUUGUGUGUCCAUGAAGUUGUUAUGACUAGCAUUCUAAAAUUUCAGUACUUCAGUUUUUUUUUAUUUUCUAAUGCAAAAAAAACAACUAAUGAUAAAUAAACUGUAAACAAGUAAGGUAAAUUUAUAAGGAAGUAAAUUAAUGGAGUGUAGAACCUAUGAAGGGAGCAAAUAGCUCCCCAACAAAACAGUGUCAAAAAAAUUGUUGAUUGCUAUCUGAUUGUCUCUCUAGUUCCUCGCACUUAAAUAACUAUUUUUAAUAUAGUACAGACGCACACACUUAUAUAAACGCGCAUACACUCAACCUUAUGAACGCGCAUACGUAUACCUAUUCCUAUGAUCAUCUUCGAGAGACUGAGAUUUACGAAAACAUCUCCUCUCACUGAAUGCGCUGUCAGGAUCAAGGCUUCUCUCUCAGCUAGCAAUGGUGGUUUCUCUCGAGACACCAAGAAUAGGUCAAACUCUGAUGGUUUUGCGACGCAAAGAUACACGUCUUUUCUGGCGUUUUUCUGUUAUUCUUCAGAGAUCAGCUGAACGGCAUAUAUGCCUACACACACGAUCAGGCCAACGCCUUGACCGAGACUCACGCCAAACGAACCCCACUAUGCUCGAUCCUAAAUGCAAGGAACAUGCUGCAUGCGCUUAUCCAACGCGUCAUGCACACGGUUAUACUCCCUCCGUUCCUAAAUAUAAGUCUUUGUAGAGAUUUUAUUAGUGGACUACGUACGGAUGUAUAUAGACAUACUUUAAAGUAUAGAUUCAAUCAUUUUGCUCUGUAUGUAGAUCCUUAAUGAAAUCGCUUAAAAGACUUAUAUUUAAAAACGGAGGGAGUACAAAGUAAACGUGCAUGCGUGAUUAAAAGGAAAAACAAUAGACAGACUAAUUAAAACAAGAUUACACGCUGAGAUGCGCAUCGCCGAAAAUACUAUAAUAAAUUUAAGAAUAAUACGAGGAUUUAAAUUUAAAUUAUAAUAGAUUGAGGAUAACAUUGUCUCUCCAAUUAUCCAACCACAACCACAAUCACAAUCACAGAUUGGUUCGUCCACUUGAGUAGACUUGAAACUGGAGACGGGACACGAUGGUGACUGGACUUUGCAUGUCGUUCCAAGGCGCGGCCGUGCGUGACAAGUCAGCUUGACCACGCAAGUCAGGGCCGGGACGACUGCGGUUGACAGGUCGUCGCCCGCGUCCCCGCCGGCCGGAGACUCACGCUAGGUAGCAGACACGCAGUCAAUGGCGGGCACCACGUAGCUAGCUAGGAGAAGAGCAUGCAUGGAUGAUGAAUGAUAUCGAUCAUUUGUGGGUUGUGGCAUGCAUUUCUCCCAUUGCGUGGCACCUUGGUUUAUACCUGGCCAAACGGGCCGGCCCGGCACGGCACGGCCCGGCCCGUCAUAAUCGUGCCAGGCGCGGCCCGGCCCGCCCUGGCCCGAUUAACAUACGGGUCGUGCCGUGCCGGCCCGCGGCACGGUAGGCCCACGACAUGGCCAGGCCCGCCGGUCUCGCCCCUCUCCCGCGACUGCUCCUCCCUCGCCCGAAUUCGCUCCACGGUAGGCCCAUGACUGCUCCCGCCCGCCGGUCCCGCCCUCUCUCGCCCGAAUUCGCUCCCCCUGCCCCUUUUCCCGCUCGCUAGUCUUUUUCCCGCCGCACGCCCACCCCAAAUCCCGCUCGCGAGUCGCGUCCAGCCGCUCGCCAGCCUUUUUCCCGCCGCUCGCCCGCCCGCCCCAAAUCCCGCUCAGCCCGUGACGUGCUCCCGCUGGCCCGCUCCCCCCUCCCANGUCCCAACUCCCAACCGUACCCUGAUUGCAUGACAUGACAGCACACCCGGAAGCAAAUUACCCUCCUUGCACACGCGUUCAGGGAAACCUCCAUUUCUGGCCGGUGGCCUUGGUGGUGUAGCAAGCAGAAUCCAUUGAACCAUACCUAUCGUCCUUUGCUAUGCUGGCCUUGCAUCAGUGCAUUGCAUUACAGGAGCAACGCUACAAAUAUAUUGAGGCCCUGUUUGGAAUAGCGUAUUUUUAGAAAUACACCUGUAAAAUAUACGGACCUCUGUCCGUCGAUUUCAUUUCCCGUCCGGACGGAAAUCAUUGCUGACCAGUAUAAUACACAUGUAAGUUAAACAACUCCGUAUUACGAUACACUGAAUCCAAACGCGGCCUUACGGAUUUAUCUGGCAACAUCUGUUUGGAAAUCACAGGGACCAAAGGGAAGAGGACAAGUAGGUCCGUAGCUUUAAUUUGUGGCAAUUUUGCUAGUCCGCAAGUUUAGCAAUUUUGUCAUUGUUGUAGGCGUAGAGCUUACUAGCAAUUUUAACAGCCAGUCCGCAAGUUUAGCAAUUUUGACGGCAAGUAAGUUUGCCGUUUUUGACAGUCAGUCCAUAAAAGGAAACGUGUGCGUGUGGGGGGCACUCUCUUAAAUUGCUAGCCUGUACGUUUUCAUGCAUGGUGAUGAGGACAAAAUUGAAACGAGUAGUUUGCAUGUGAUGCAUGGUCAAUAAUGAUCUAGAGGCAUCUUGCGUGUGGAGCCUGACCAGAGGCAUGGCAUCAUUCUAAUCGUCACAUGUACUUCCUUCGUUCCUAAAUAUAAUUUUUUUAAUUUUUUUCUAAAAUACUUCAUAUCGGAUGUAUAUAGACAUAUUUUAAAAUAUGAGUAUAUAAUUACACUUGGAUUGUCAUGAUUGAAUGUUCUGAGUGCCUUUUUGGUCGAUUACGGCAUCAAGACAACCUCGGAUAAAGGAAUGCUCUACAUGGAUUGUCUUCGUCCCGUGGAAUUGGUCGAUUUUGAUAUAUGAAUUGUCCAAAUCCAAGGUCGUAUGGAACCUGCAGAGGUGAAACAGGUUCAGGUUAUGUUUUCAUUCAGGAAAUCCGAGUGAAAAGCUUAUCAUCCGAGUGAAAAUAUAUCUAUCCGAGUGAAGGCUUGAUGACCGAGUGAAAAUUUUCCGAAUACGAGUGGAACUUCGGUCAAGGAGUUCAGACACAUGAAUUCCGAGUGGAAAAAUUGCUGUCCGAGUGAAAAAUUUCACUCGACCGACUAAAAGGCUCUAAAUCCGAGUGAUUCAACCAGAAGGUAAAGACUGACCUAUAUGGUCGUCUAUAUAUCAUCUGAGGUAGUACACGGCCUACAGGGACACGACAACACUCGGGCAGUCCAGUCCGUUACAUGAUCGAGGCUGAUUCAAAGUUAAAAAUGACCUCGUGGAGUAUUUGAGAUGGCUUUAUUUGGGAAAGUGAUCAACAUACGGAUUGUUGGCCUCGUCAAGGCACACAAAAUUGGUGUUUGGAUUGUCUCCAUCAGAGGUCAUAUGUAGAUUCCACGGCCUAUGCAAGGAGCAAGACAGAAGAUCGGACUAGAUUUGGGUUGAAGCCGAAUUAGACUAGAACAUGAUUUGCUGUAAUUUUCUUGUAAGGAAAGCCUAGAUGAAUCAUUUGCUUGUACGAAAAGUCUAACGCCUCUUAUAUAUAUUGAAGAUGAUGACCGAUUGAAACAACACACAAUCAAAACAUCAAAUAUACUAUUUUUUCAUUUACGUUUUAUCUCUUCAUGGCAUUUUAUCUCUCGUUCUUGAUACCUGCCUGUGCCAAGUCCCAACCGUACCCUGAUUGAAAUUUUCAACACCUUGCUUUGCAUGACUUGACAGCACACCCGAAAGCAGUCACAUACUUACAUGGCGGGUGCAGCUGGGAGUAGACCCACGGAGCACACUAUCUUGUACAGUAUGAUCACUCUUUAUGAUUCGUAGACAUCUACAACAAUCGGUUGAAUGAUUGCAAACAGUUCCCGCCUAAUUGCAAGCUUCCAACGAUACAAUUUUUUUUUGCAAGCUUCCAAGUCGUCAUGGGUCGUCGGUCCUCGGUGCAAAUAUAUUUAAUCACUGUUCUGACAUCAUCUGGUUGGAAAUCACAAGGAUCAAAGGAAGGAUAAAAUCAUCGUUAUGACUUUUUUUAAUCUUUGUCACAAAGUGAACUCGACAUGAAAGUAUUUUACGAUCUGAUCCUUUUGACAACGUCAGAGACCGUGACGUUUAUGCUCCACAUGGAAACGCCGAGGUAGCUUGCGUUGCUGCUCUACGUAGAAACGCCGAAGUAGAUCGCAUUGCAGACCAUAUGAAAACGUCAGGUUUUUGACGUUUCUACCGUGGCUAGAAACGCCAUGUGGUUUAGCGUUGCUGACCUUGAUUUUGUAAUCUUGGCUCUUGUCUCUUCCUUGUCAGGUCAACUUUUUAAACUAGUGACAAUAUCUACUCCAGCAACGCCAACCCCCAUGACGUUGCUGCUUCUGCCUCAGCGCCUCGUGGUCCUAACAUGCUUGCUGACAAUCUCUACUUCAGCAACGCCAACCCUCAUGGCAUUUCCAGCGUGGAUAGAAACGUCAAAUACCCAGGUGUUGCCAUAUGGUCUGCAAUGCGAGCUAGUUCGGCGUUUGAAUGUGCAGCAAAAACGCGAAAAUAGACUGCGAUUUUACGUGCAGCAGCAAUGUCACGGACGGUGGCGUUUCUAAAAGGGUCAGAUCGCGAAAUACUUUUAAAUCAAGUUCAGUUUGUGACACAAAUUGUUAAAAGAGUCAGAACAGUGUAAAAAGCCCCAAAGGUAAUUAAGAGGACGAGUAGGUCCGUAGCUUUAAUUUGUGGCAAUUUUGAUAGUCCCCAAUUUUAGCAAUUUUGUCAUUGUUGUAGGCGUAGAGUUUAGCAAUUUUGACAGCCGGUCCGCAAGUUUAGCAAUUUUGACGGCAAGUAAGUUUGUCGUUUUUGACAGUCAAUAAUGCUAUACUUACGUAAAGAUUUACAUAUGUUUACGGACCGGACUGAUUUGGCUAUGUUUGAUUGAAUUAGAUGAAGGAUUAGGCCCACCCAUCUUGAAAAUUAGAGGGUCAGUAUUAAAUUAAGAAAAAAGAAGAGUUAGUACGUAAGACUUCGUAGACUUUUAAGUAAGUCUAGCAUUAUUGUUCCAUAAAAGGAGGCGUGUGCGUGUGGAGGCACUCUCUUAAAUUGCUAGCCUGUACGUUUUCAUGCAUGGUGAUGAGGACAAAAUUGAAACGAGGAGUUUGCAUGCGAUGCAUGGUCAAUAAUGAUCUAGAAGCAUCUUGCGCGUGGGGCCUGACUGACCUGAGGCAUGGCAUCAUUCUCAUCGCCACAUUCGUUCUUAAAUAUAGUUCUUUUAAUUUUUUUAUUAAAAUAUUUUAUACGGAUGUAUAUAAACAUAUUAUAGAAUAUAGAUUCAUUCAUUUUGUUCGUUUGUAUUUCCUUAAUGAAAUUUCUAAAAAUAUUUAUAUUUAAAAAUAGAGGAAGUAUAUUCUAAUCAUACUUUGCAUUUGAUGAGCAUAUAACCCAAUAGCCUCUUCUUCUUUAGAUUUUCAUCAUUAUCUAUUGGCUCAAAGUAUGUACCAUAUUUGAAAACUUCUUUAUCUCUUCAUCAUAUUUUAUCUCUCGUUUUUGGAUAUACAGCGCCUCUUAUAUAUAUUGAAGAUGAUGACCGAUUAAAACAACACAUAAUCAAAACAUCAAAUAUACUAUCUUUUCAUCUAUGUUUUAUCUCUUCAUCGUAUUUUAUCUCUCGUUCGUGGAUACCUCCCUGUCCCAACUCCCAACCGUACCCUGAUUGAAAUUUUCAACACUACCUUGCUUUGCAUGACUUGACAGCACACCCCAAAGCAGUCACGUACUUACAUGGCGGGUGCAGCUGGGAGUAGACCCACGGAGCACACUUUCUUGUACAGUAUGAUCACUAGUAUUUCAUGAUUCGUAGACAUCUACUACAACGAUCGGUUGAAUGAUUGCAAACAGUUCCCGCCUAAUUGCAAGCUUCCAACGAUACAAUUUUUUUUUACAAGCUUUCCAAGUCGUUAUGGGUCGUCGGUCGUCGGUGCUCGGCUGGAGUAUUAAAGAAACAAACAUCUCAACUUGUACCCCGAGCAUGCCACCAGCGGCGUAGCACUCCUCCAUGCCGUCCCACACAUCAGCAGCUGCUUCUCUACUGGCACUGGCAGCAUGGCUCGCCGUGGCGGCAGCGCUGCUUCGAGUUGGAGCAGCAUCGCCGAGCAGCAGCUGCCAGAGGAAAUGCGGCGACGUGGAAAUCCCUUACCCGUUCGGCAUCGUCCAUUCGCCUGACGACGCCAACUGCGCCAUGCCCGGCUUCAACCUGACCUGCAACGAGACCGGGAUUAAUGGGCGGCCAUUUUUGGGCAACGUGGAGGUCGUCCGCGUUUCGCUGCAGCAAGGUCAGGCCCAGAUGCAGAACCAUAUCUCCAGCUACUGCUACAACGCCACCUCGCACGGCAUGGACGCCGACCCUUGGCAGCUCAACUUCAGGGGCACGCCCUACAGGAUCGCCGACACCAACAAGUUCACCGUCAUCGGCUGCCAAGCGCUGGCGUACAUCCUGGGCACGCGCGCCAACAAGUACGCCAGCGGCUGCGUGGCCAUGUGCCGGCGGGGAGGCGGCGGCGGCGGCGACGUGAGCUCCGCCCUCAGCAACGGCUCCUGCUCCGGGAUAGGGUGCUGCCAGACCGCCAUCCCCAAGGGGCUCCAGUACUACCGGGUGCGGUUCGACUCCGGCUUUGACACCACGGAGAUCCACGACGUCAGCCCCUGCAACUACGCCGUGCUCAUGGACGCCUCCAACUUCACCUUCCAGACCACCUACGCCACCUCGCCGGGGUUCAAAAGCACCUACGGCGGAGAGGCGCCGCUGGCGGUGGACUGGGUUGUCGGAAAGGAGACAUGCGACGCGGCGCGCAAGAAUUCCUCGUCCUACGCCUGCGUCAGCGACCACAGCGAGUGCGUCGACUCGCUCAACGGACCCGGCUACUUCUGCAAGUGCUCCAUGGGCUACGGCGGCAAUCCUUACCUGCAAGAUGGAUGCAAAGGUGUGUACCAACUCAAAAACACUAGUAUCUGUAAAUAUAAUUAUAAUAUACUCCUAUACGGCAUUGCUAUUCUCAAUCUAUUCAUAAACCAUCGAAAGAUGCCUCCAUGCAUCGACCGAUUCAUUGAUGCGUAGAACUUCUUUUUUUUAAAUAAUAACAUUCCCUUCGAUUUAAAAUAAGUGUCUAAACUAAAGUUGAACCAAACUUAGUUCAAAGCCGCGGCACUUUUUUUUUUUGGAUCCGAGGGAGUAUAUUUUAAUGAAAUUUGGUUCAAUGUUCGGAGUAAUAAUACGAGAAUUAAAACUGAAAAAAUAUAGGAUUUAUUGUGUUUGAUUAUUGUAUAGUUGAUGAAACAUAUUUAUUUAUUUUAAAGAGCAUAAUAUAGUAACUUAUCUUACAUGUUUGCAUGUUGUAGUGAACUUUUUCCUGUGCACUGUUGCAUAACAAAAAUGCUAAACCUAUAAAAAAAUACAGGAUUUUACACGAUCUAUUCAUCUAAUGAUCAAUCACAAACUUGCCGCCCCUGAUUUUCAGUGGGGUGGGCCGCCUCCCUCUCCUAUUGAUCAAUCACAAUCUAAAAAAUUAACCCACUUUGUAAAACCCUGUAAGUUGUUCGUACGUGCAGCAUUACUGAUUGCGUAAUUAAUGGGGCCAAUCUUUUGUCAUGUACUCCGUAUGUACUCUCUCCGUUCCAAAAUAUAAGACCUUUUAGGGAUUCCACUAGAAAACUAUAUACGGAGCAAAAUAAAUGAAUCUAUACUCUAAAAUAUGUCUGUGUACAUCCGUAUGUAGUUUAGUGCAAUCUCUAGAAUGUCUUAUAUUUAGGAACGGAGGGAUUAUCUUGCAUGCUUAGUUGAUAUGCUUGUAUGCUGAGAAAUAGGUUGGUCAGGGCAAUACAUUUAAAUGUACUCCCUCCGUACCUAAAUAUAAAUCUUUUAAGAUAUUUCAUUAGGUGUCUACAUACGAAGCAAAAUGAGUGAAUCUAUAAUCUAAAGUAUGUCUAUAUACAUCCGUAUGUAGUUCAUUAGUGAAAACUCUAGAAAGACUUAUGUUUAGGAACGGAGGGAGUAGAAUAUUUGAUCAUUGAUUCCCUGAAAAUAUGAUCUUUGGUGGCAGAUAUUGACGAGUGCACAGAACUGCCAAAAUACCCUUGCUCUGUAUCUGGAACAUGCGAAAAUAUGCCUGGUGGAUUCAACUGUACUUGCCCCAAGCAUACCAAAGGCAACGCCCAAAAUGGGAUAUGCGAGAAAAACCACACACUUGAUCGUGGAGAAAAACUCGGUAUUGGUACGUACACAUCUCUGACGUAUGUCUACUAUCUAUAACUAUUACUUUUUUGAGAGUACAUCUAUAUAUAACUAUUAAUAAAGAAAAUAGUUUAUUUUAUCAUGCUGUUUUACAAAAAAUCCCACAUAGUUCUGAUAAUCAACCCACACUUCAGCUUUAAGUUGGGUUUUUUUGCUUUUGUAGAAAAUUCUCUGAUGUUUUUGAUAAUCAACCGCAAUCCAAUUUUAAGUCAGAAUUUUUCUUUUCCAGUAAACCCCCUUAUAUUUGGGUUUAAUCAAUCCGCAGUGCAGAUCAAAUAAUUUUAAAAAAUACCAUAUCUAUUAAACUCUAACUUCAAAUUUAACAUAUUAUAUAUGAAAUUUGAUUAGAAAAUGUGCAUGAUAUGAAUAUAAUGUUAUUUUACAUGUUAACUAUUUUGAUAAUAUAAUUUAUGGUGCAAAUUAAUUAGUAGUAUAGGAUCCGUCUUUCUUUCAUACCGGUGUCGAUCCAGAUUAAAAAUAAAUUCUUCGCUAAAACCAUGAUAGGAGCCGAAAGAAACCAUCUAUUGCCACACAUGAACACCUCGUGAAAACCUCAAGAGAGAAAAAGCAGAUUUGUCAUCUUAUGUCGAGAGAGACGUCUUAAGAUUAAUAGCAUCUAAUUGUGUCGUGAUUGUGUGAGUACUGAGGCCACGUUAGCGAGGGUGAAAAGGAGGAUAGGUGACAACACAUAUGGGAUGUCAUGUGUUGAGAUUAAUUAAAUGGAUAAAUUGAGAUCUUGAGCCAUGGUUAUUGGGCCAGAGGAGUGCGAUAUUCUUUCCCGUUGCAACGCACAACCUCUUUAAUUUGCUAGUACAAUCUAAGCACAUGAUAUAUCGACAUUGUGUAUAAUUUCAUUUAAGAUUCCUAGUGCCAAUUAAUUCCAUCUUUUACUAAAUAAACACAUGUUCUGUUUUGCCCCAAAUGAGAAAUGAUGACUAACCUUGGUAUAUACUCUUCAGGAGCUUUUGGCGUUGUUCUGGUUGGCCUGGUCUGCAUCCUUGCAGUAGAAAUUAUCCGUCACAAAAGGAGUAUCAAGAGACAAGCGCUGAUCAGGCAGAGUGAUGAAUACUAUCAGCAGCACGGGGGGCAGAUACUGUCAGAAAUUAUGAGAGUAGAGCGUAACAUUGGGUUCACUGUCUACGCCAGAGGAGAGAUCGAGGCGGCAACAAACGGGUUCGACAAGGCGAACAUCAUCGGGGAAGGAGGGCAGGGCACCGUGUACAAGGCGGUCCUCGAUGUCGACGGCAAGGACACACAUGUGGCCGUGAAGAGAUGCAUGGAGGUGGACGAGAGCAGGACGAAGGAUUUCGUGCAGGAGCUGGUGAUACUCUGCCGCGUCGACCAUCCCAACAUCGUCAAGCUCCUGGGUUGCUGCCUGCAGUUCGAGGUGCCCAUCCUGAUCUACGAGUACGUGCAGAACAAAACCCUGCAGGAGCUACUGCACAGCCAGCCGACCCUGUGUCGCGCCACCCUGGGGAUCCGUCUGAGGAUCGCCGCGCAGGCCGCCGCAGCGCUAGCGUACCUACACUCGUUGGCGCAUCCGAUACUCCACGGCGACGUGAAGCCCGCCAACGUCCUGCUCACCGACGGCUGGGUCGCCAAGGUGUCCGACUUUGGCUGCUCCACCAUCGAUGAGAAGACCCAGGUGGUGGCCAGAGGCACGGCGGGCUAUGUUGAUCCGGAGUACAUUUUUGAGUACCAGCUCACCCAGAAGAACGACGUCUACAGCUUUGGGGUCCUCCUUCUGGAGCUCCUUACCGGGAAGAAGCCGCUGUCAAAACUCCGGAAGAGCCUGACGGUGAUGGUUCAGGAAUCUAUGGAGGAUGGCACGCUCCAACAGCUCUUUGACAGGGAAAUAGUCGAUGAUGCUAGCAUGGGAUUGGCCCUUCAGGCCACAGAGCUGGCGACUCGAUGCUUAGUCAUGCCAGGGAGCAGGAGGCCGACGAUGAGGCACGUUGCGGAGGAGCUCCGGCAGCUCGCAGAUCAAGUGAAACAGCCGCUGGUGUGUGAGUAUCACAGCCUCACAGUCACGGAUGUGGGGAGCUCCAUGUCGUCUGAGAGCGACACAACCACCGGGGUUUUCAGCCUUGAGAAGAAAGUCGCGCUGAGCACGGAAUUCGCUAGAUGAGAUCAUGACAAGUUAACAUGCAUAUUGGAGAUUGCUGCUACACUCGAUCGGUUGUGUCGUGUCUUGGUUGCAUCGCGUUUGUGGUGGUUUGCUUUACUUUAUAAAUAAAGCUGGAGGGAAGACUAUUUUAAUAAAAACUGUUUGUUAGUUAUUAGCUCUAUAACGGUACCACGUGUUUGUUGGUGUUGCUGCAAUAUGCAUGUAAGUACUCAUUUGAGACAGAUUUACUACGGUUCAAAUUUUCCUCUGAGUUUAUGGUUUUGUCUCAUAUCCCUACAUCUCGACUCUAAUGAUGAGGCAGUGGGCACAGCCCUUGAAAUCUUAUCUAUCUACCUACUAUAUACUCCCUCCAUUUCUAAAUAUAAGUCUUUUAAGCAAUUUCACUAGAUGUCUACAUACGAAGCAAAAUGAUUGAAUGCACACUCUAAAGUAUGUCUAUAUACGUCUGUAUAUAGUCCACUAGUGAAAUCUUUACAAAGACUUAUAUUUAGGAACGGAGGGAGUAUAUAUUAAAACGACAAUUUGGAUUAACUAUGCACACACACACACACCAUAUGAGAAGUGUGGCUCUAGAUGAUCAAUCUGAAAUAUACUUCCUUUCGUUGUGUGACACAUAUUUUCCUAAAUCAUCUUUUAAUCUAUGAUCAUGUUUAUAUAAUUUUUAUUAACAUAUCUAACACCAAUUAAAAUAAUUAGGUUCAUUAUUGAAUAUAUCUCCAUAUCAUAUAUAUUCGUUAUUAUAAAAUGUUCAUAUUGUUUUUUAUAAACAUGGUCAAACUUCAUGAAAUCCGCCUUCACCGCUGUCUUCAACUUGACCAUAAACUUUCUUAUUAGUGAUAGUUGGCUUUCAUCUCCGCCUCCGACUGAAUGAAGUCUAGGAUGGCAUGCUACUCCGCCGCCUCCUUCGGUUGAGUCACCUUAGUCUCCGGCCAUGCAUACUGAAGCCCGCGGGCAUGGGAUCUGCGUCCUCCGCCUCCACCUCCUCUAUGGCAGAGGACGCAGAUCCGAUCAUGCAAUUUGCGUACUUAUCAUGCUCAUUUAUUACCCUCUUUAUUUAUUUACUACAUAUUAGUUUUUUCUUAAAAUCAUCUUUUAAUCUAUGAUCAAGUUUAUAUAAUUUUUGUUAACAUCUCCAACACCAAUUAAGAUCAUUGGGUUUAUUAUCGAAUAUAUAUUCACAUCAUAUAUAUUUGUUAUUAUAAAAUGUUCAUAAAGUUUUUUUAUAAACAUGGUCAAAAUUUACGAAAUCCGCGUUCACUUGUGUCUCCAACUUGACCAUAAACUUUCUUAUUAGUGGUAGUUGGCGUCCACCUUCGCCUCCGAUCGGAUGAAGUUGAGGAUGGCCUGCUACUCCGCCGCCUCCUCCGCUUGAGCCACCUCGAUCUCUGUCAUGGUGUCGGCCAUGUUAAAGCCCGCAGGUAGGCCUCAGAUCUGCGUCCUUUGCUUACACCUCCUGUAUGGCGGAGGACGCAGAUCCGGCCAUGCAAUUUGCGUAGUUAUCAUGCUCAUUUAUUACCUUCUUUAUUUAUUUUUCUUAAAUCAUGUUUUAAUCUAUGACCAAGUUUAUAUAAUUUUUAUUAACAUCUCUAACACCAAUUAAGAUCAUUAGGUUUAUUAUUGAAUAUAUCUUCACAUCGUAUAUACUUCCUUCGUCUCAAAAUUUUUGUCUUAGCUUUAUUUAAAAAUAAAUGUAUCUAAAUACUAAAACGUGACUAGAUACAAUCAUAUCUAGACAAAUUUAAGACAAAUUUUUUGUAACGGAUAGAGUAUUUGUUAUUAUAAAAAAUUUAUAUUGUUUUUUAUAAACAUGGUCAAACUUCAUGAAACCUGCCUUCACCUCUGUCUCCAACUUCACCAUAAACUUUCUUAUUAGUGGUAGUUGGGGUUCAUCUUUACUUUUUACCGAAUGAAGUCGAGGAUGGUCUGCUACUCCGCCGUCUCCUCCGCCUUAACCACCACGAUCUUUGUCACGGUGUCGGCCAUGCUGAAGCCCGCAAGCACCGGAUCUGCGUCCUCCGCCUCCACCUCCUCUGUGACCGCCUCCUCCUCCAGUUGUGGUGAAUCCGAAGGCAGGUCGACAUCAAUCCAAGCAUCGUGCAUCCAGUUCUUCUUCGGCGGCCGUGACUGUCCCUCCCGAGUACUUCUUCGUUAAUCUCAAGAUAAGAUGUCGGCUUACUCUCUUUACAUGUGUAUUAAAAAGAAAACCGAGAACAAGGAAGCGCAUGCACCUGGCUAGGCGAGUGACGGUAAACAACUAACUGGCCCGCUGCAUUGCAUGCGCACACGCAUGCAGCUGCUGGCAGCGCGCACCCAGAUCAUCACGGCACACGUGGCACGCCGCUCCUUCCAGAGGCCGGCCGUGUCCCGGCGACGUGUCGCCUGAGCCGUGCAUGGAUGAUCCAUGCACGCAUCAGCGAGCGAUACGUACGUAUGCAUAGGCCGGCUGCAUGCACGCAUGGCGCCAAGGCAAGAGAGGAGGGUAGGGUAGGGUGGCCCAAAUGCAAGUCCCAACCCCCGUGACAAAACCCUCAGUCAAUCCGCCGCUAUAUACACGCCGGCAGGCGUCAUAUUUCCAGGUCUCGAUCGUCGGAGAAGGAGGAGGAGAGGAAACAUAUAUAACGGCGACAUGUCCCGUUGCGUGGAUCCGCUGGUGGUGGGGCGGGUGAUCGGCGAGGUGGUGGACAUGUUCGUGCCGUCGGUGGCCAUGGCGGUGGCCUACGGCGCCAGGGACCUCAGCAACGGCUGCCACGUCAAGCCCUCCCUGGCCGCCGACCAGCCGCUCGUCCGCAUCUCCGGCCGCCGCAACGACCUCUACACCCUCGUGCGUCCCGCCGCCACCUCUGGAUUUGUUCAUAUAUAUGCAUGGGGACUUGUUAAUUUAUGAUUGCCUGCAUGCCUGGAAUGGAUGCGUGGUUGGUGAUCGAUCCAUCCAUCAUCCAUGUACUUGUACUACAUGCUGCAGGUGAUGACGGAUCCCGACGCGCCUAGCCCCAGCGAGCCCACCAUGAGGGAGUACCUCCACUGGUAUGUAUGAUUUGGCACCUCACUUGACGAUUAAACAAGUGUCAAUUCCAUGCACCUCCAUGCAUGCAUACAUGCGCGCAUCAUCAUCAGGUUUCUUUUAUUAACUGAGUUCUACUUCUACUCUACUCACUGUCACCGUGUGCGUUUUAUUCAUCUGUGUCUGCAGGAUAGUGGUUAACAUACCGGGUGGAACAGAUGCAACUAAAGGUCAGUACGUUAUUUACGACUAACGGAUCGUUAAUUAAUUUCAUAUAUAGCACUCUCAAUGCAUUGUGCUCCCAGUAAGUUUAAUUAACCAUUAAUAUGUAAAUUGCACUCUUAUAUUAUCAUUCUCGCGCGCCCCUCAUGGUAUUGCCGAUGGACAUCUUUGGUUAUAGUAGAUAUAUCCAAAUUUUUAUUUCAAAUUUUAAUUUGGUGACUUUGUACUUUGGGGGUGGGGUGGGUUGGGUGGGGGGGGGGGUCUUAUUCCUUUUCAGUUAAAUCAUUAGCCACCAUUCAAUUUUAUGUCUGGGGUCCGCACCUAGUUCUCCCAAUAUUGUUGUUUUAACACUUUAUGAGUAAACAUUUGAGCAUUGGGGACACACUCCACACAUCUCGAUGAGUAGAGUUAUAGUUGUUUUCACACUUAGCAUCUAGCAUCAUGUUAGUUAAGGCUUUUAAUUGGGAGCUAAAGAUUUCUCUCUUCUUUCAUUUCUUCAAGAUUCUCUACCAUGUCUGUUUACACCAUGAAUUAAAGUGCUACUCAAAUUAGAUUUUUUUUCUCACUUGAGUAAAUCAAUGAUAUACAUAAGCUGUGAUUAUUGUAAUGUUUCCACACUUUGAUGUCUCUAUUAAUGGUCUUAUUAGCAAUCUUCACCCUAAGUGCCUGCUUACACCUUAUGGAUGUUGAUGAUUUAAUAGACAAAGCACUACAAUAGUAAAAACACAUUUGAUGAAUAUAUAACUUACAUAUAACUAAACCCACCUCCACCCACCCCUACAUCGCACACACAUACAAACACAUACUCCAUACCUACCAUAUGUUGCCAAUAUGUUGGUCAUUGUGCCAGGUUCUUCUCAUGCUCGGGACGUCUUUGGAUCAUACGUAAAAUCCUCUAUCUCACCUAAGACCCAACCGUCACAUAUAAGAGAUAGCUUAUGUCAUUACGUAUGCCCUUAUAUAUAUAUAUGUCAUGACCAUACACAAACAUGUCGUUUUCCAUUUAUCGUUCUAUGUCGAUACCUAGUGGUUUUGACACGCGCACAUGCAUACUAUGAUUGCUCACGCAUGCCUUUAUUGCGAUAUGGACGGUUAGAAUUCGAUUUUCCCAACAAGUUCUUCGUCUUUCUACCGUCCGGUUAAUCUAUUUUUCUUUCUAUUUUAACCGGUAAUUUUUCACCAACGAGAUUAUGACAUUAGUUCAGCAACCACAAAGCCUGACGCCGUGUGUCAACUGGUCUCGCAUCCUUUUACAAUACAACCCAUUCGUUCUAAUAGAGUAUUUUGUGAACCUUGUCAUAUAUUUAAGAAAAUAGUUGUUGCAAAAAAAAAAGUUACUCGAGUCCAUACUUUCCAUUUUAAAACAAAAAUAGACUGGUACAUAGUGAUAUAUUCCUAUGGGAAAUAAAUAGUUAUAAUUAAGUUGAUGUCUCCACAACAUUUACAUGACAUAAAAUGAACAGCAUGUCACAGGAUUUCAUUCUUUUAAGGCCUUCCACCGUGCGUCGUGCCCGGCAUUUACUUAUUAUGCCAUCCCAGUUUGUGGUUGCUGAAUUGUGUUUCUACGUGCUGAUUUCAUUGUACGUUUGUAGGAAAAACAGACAUAAAGAUAGGCAGAAAAGAGAUACACAAGCAAUGAAAUACAAAAAAAAAAGAAUAAAUAAAGUGGAGUGAGUGUCUUAACACACCGCGAUGCCAACGCAGCCUUAGAUGACCGGCCGCAUGCACCUACAUAUGUACCCAAGCCCAAGUAACAAAACAAACUUGUUUGGUGGCCGCUUCCUGCGAUGACCACAUAAAAGAGGAUACGGCGCAUAAAAUAUCCACGAUAACGACGACGGUGCUCCAAGAUUCUACUCUUAUAUAUCCUCCUAAUCUUAUGUGCACCACGCGUGCGAUGCAUUGCCAGCAUUGACGCAAGCAUGGCCGCCGCAACGGCGCCGCGCCGCCGGGCGGCACGGCUGCCGCCAAGCGUUCGUCCGGGAAGCGUCCCACGUGUAUAUCCCUGCAUGCAUGCAGUACAGAUACACCGUACCUGCUAGCUUUCUUUUUUUUUGCCGCACGGUGGAUAUAUUACGGCCGAUCAAGUGUGUGUAUAUAGGAGUAUAUAUUUACGUACAUAUUUAUGUAAGUUAGCGUUUGCAGGUGAGGUGGUGGUGCCGUACAUGGGGCCGCGGCCGCCGGUGGGGAUCCACCGGUACGUGCUGGUGCUGUUCGAGCAGAAGACGCGCUUCCCCUACGUGGACGCGGCGUCGCCGGAGGACCGCGCCUACUUCAACACCCGCGCCUUCGCCGGCAACCACGAGCUCGGCCUCCCCGUCGCCGUCGUCUACUUCAACUCCCAGAAGGAGCCCUCCGGACACCGCCGCCGCUGAGGCAUGCAAUUAAUCACGCUGCAUGCCAAACAGAGCGAUGCAGACUUAUCCCGGUGAAGAAUAAUAGCCGAGCUUCCAUAUAUAUAUAUGCAUGCCAGCAACUGCUAUGUGUUGCUUUUAAUUACUGUUGUGUAAUCGCACUGUGCUUGUGUAUGCAUGCAUGAGAUGAGAUGCAUGGGAACCGAUAUAUUUUGGGGUUUUGCAGCAUAAGUCUGCAUGCCUCCGCGCGACGGGUGUUUCCCGCCGCGCCUUCUUGUAAUAAUAGUAGAAUGCAGCCGCGCUUAGUAAUUUCUUCUUGUUUGGUCCUCAAUUAUCAUGCAUACUACUCCCUCCGUUCUUAAAUAUAAAUCUUUUAAGAUAUUUCACUAGAAGUCUACAUACGGAACAAAAUGAGUGAAUCUAUACUUUAAAGUAUGUCUAUAUACAUCCGUAUGUAGUUCACUAAUGAAACUUCUUUAAAGACUUAUAUUUAGAAACGGAGGGAGUAUCAUGCAUAGUCUCUUACCGUCUUUGUACCUGCCAUCGUGUGUUACAGGGGCGGAACUACGUCCAAGGCAGCCNGUAGUCCCUUUCUAUGCUCUGUAUGUUUCAUAAAAAUAUUAAGCUACAUGCAGUCUAGCCCGUGUCCUGGGUAAAAUUGAGUCGGGCUACGCAAAGCUGAAAGCCCAACAAAGCAGCGACGGAGAACGGACUCCCGAUCGGGCUAGCUAGGUCGAAAAAAAGGGUUUGCCCCUGAUCACGCUCGUUCCUCUUCCGAUCGGCACAAGUCACGGAACCGUCGCGCACAUCGUUCUAUCACACCGAGUCGCCGCCCAUCCAGUGCGGCACAGCGCGCGGCAGUGCCCAACGCCGCCGAGAUCCGCCCCACGACGGCCGCCGCCCGCCCGUGACACGCUCGCCGUCGCACCAGCGCUUGCCAUUGCCGGUUGUGUUUCUUUUUCUACGUUGGCUCAUCAAGUCAUCAGCACCAGGCACCAGCGCUUGUCUUGUAAUUUCUUCAUGCCCGCUGGCGGUCGCACCAACGCUCGCCGUAGUACUCUGUAGCAGUUCUAGACUUCUAGUUUCUCUUUUUUUUUCAGUCCUCCAGAUUGCUCUUCUAGUUGGUAGUUUCUCUUUUUGUUCAGUUAACCAAAGAGACUGCUACAAGCCUACAACCUACAGUCUACGGACUACAUUUGGUUUAUACCGUCCACCAAAGAGACCGCCUCUUCUUAAACGUUCGUAGAACUGCUACAGCCUACAGAGUACUAACUACUAAGUACAUACUACAAUUAUGUAGUUAGCUAGCUGUUUCAGAAUUUUUACUAAUUUAAUUUGUUCUGCUUACACAGAAGAUGAAGGGGAAAAAAAGAUCAAAGCCAUGUUCAGCAAGACCGGUGUCGUCCUAUUUUCCGUCACUGUCACAACUUGCCAAUUCAAACCAACCUCGUGAGAGUGCUGCCGAAAAUUCUGAUACAAAUGUCGAUGAAAGUGGGACAAUUUUUGGACAUGGAGAAGCUAGUACAAUCCUGCAAAGUUCAACCACCGGUACAAGAUAAUCCUGAUCCUCACAAUGUUAUUAAUCCAGAACAUGAUAACAAUAGCAUAGAUGAAGAGAAUGCUAGUGUUGAGCUUAAUCCAGAUGACAUCGUGGCGGAUCCGGGCCUUCGCAAACCGAUUGAGGAGCUAGAUGUAAACAUCAGAGAUGCUGCUAGGAGAGAGUAUUUGGUAAUGGGUGCAUGCCAACCAAUUGGUCAUAAGUUUCCUGCAAAAUUAAUUGGAAGCCAGAUGCGGAGAUUUCAGGAUAAGUGGUUUAAAAGGUAUGAUUGGUUGGAAUAUAGUGUAGCAAAAGACGCUGCAUUUUGUUUUCACUGUUUUCUCUUUAAACAACCACGAGCAGAAAAUUUUGGUAUAGAAUCAUUUACGAAGGUUGGUUUUAGCUAUUCGAAGAAUGGAAUUGAAGCUUGUGAUCUUCAUGUUGGUAAGGAUAUGAAUAGUGCUCACAAUAAAGCUAGAAAAUAUUAUGACGCCUUUAGAAAUCAGCGGCAAGGUGUGGAUUAUGUGUUCGCAGCUGCCACCAAGAAGGACGAGGAAGAAUAUAAAGCUCGUGUUACAAUUAUGAUAGGCAUUGCAAAAAAAAUUCUAUUGCAAGCUCUUGCUUUUCGUGGGCAUGAUGAGUCUCGUAGCUCAAACAAUCAAGGUAAUUUUCUUGAGAUGCUGAAAUGGUAUAAAGGGAAGGAUGAAAAGGUUGCAAAAUUGCUUGACAAUGCUCCUGGAAACCGUCAAAUGAUCUCACCAACAAUACAAAAACAGAUUUGCAAAGCGUGUGCUGAAGUUACCACCAAAGCUAUUAUUGAUGACAUUGGGGAUAAAAAGUUUGCGGUACUUAUUGAUGAGGCACGGGAUGCAUCUAUUAAGGAACAAAUGGCCAUGGUUUUGAGGUUAGCCGCUACGACAUCUACAUUUCUUCUACUUGAGUGAAUCAAAAUUAUAAAGUAUGCUAAUUUUGUUUUUCUUUUAUGUAGGUAUGUCAACAAUGAGGGACAGGUGAUAGAAAGAUUUGUUGGUGUCAAGCAUGUUCCAGACACGACAUCUGCUUCACUGAGGAUAGCCGUGGACGGUAUGUUAAAAUCUCUUGGUUUAUCCAUCUCUAGUGUGAGAGGUCAAGGUUACGAUGGGGCAUCAAAUAUGAGAGGACAAUUUCAUGGCUUGCAAAGACGCAUAUUAGAUGAAAACCCAUAUGCCUUCUAUGUCCAUUGUUUUGCCCAUCAGUUGCAGCUAGUGGUUGUGUCUGUUGCCAAGUGUUGUUCCUCUGUCUUGGACUUCUUUAAUUAUGCCACCAUGAUUGUCAACACAGUUAAUGCUUCUUGUCAUAGAAAAGAUAAAUUGCUGCAAAGUCACCAUGAUGAGAUUGUGAACAAAAUUGAGACCGGAGAUAUCUUCACAGGAAGAGGAAAGAACCAAGAAACUAAUCUUGCAAGGCCAGGGGAUACUCAUUGGGGAUCUCAUCAUAAAACCUUAUGUCGUCUUGUUCACAUGUGGAAACCUGUCCUACAUGUAUUAGAGAAUUUGAGUGAUGAUGCCACUAAUGCAACACAGAAAACCACUGCUUCAGGUUUAUUGGGAAAAAUGGAAAGCUUUGAGUUUGUUUUUAUAAUGCACCUUAUGAUAAGAAUUCUUGGGAAGACUAAUGACUUAUCAACAUGCUUGCAAAAGAAAGAUUAAAACAUUGUUCGUGUUGUAGGGCUGAUAGGUACUACAUCGAAGGAAGUUGAGAAUAUGAGAAACACGGGUUGGAAUGAAAUUUUUGAACAAACAAAGGGCUUUUGUCUUGAGCAUAAAAUUGUUGUGCCAAAUAUGGAAAAUAAAAUACCAGCUAGAGGUCGUUCGAGGGGUCGUGGCAGCCAGUUAGUAACUUAUUAUGAUCAUUUCCAUUAUGAAAUAUUUAAUGUGGUGCUUGAUCAAAUUAUUGUUGAGAUGAAUAAUCGCUUUGCUGAAAGAUCUACUCAAUUAUUGAGGUGCAUAGCUUGUCUUGAUCCACGGAAUUCUUUUGCUAAUUUUGAUAUUGACAAGUUAGUUGAACUUGCAAGAAUGUAUGCGAUGACUUCUCCCCAUAUGAGUGUAUAGUCCUUCGGGACCAACUUGGCACAUUUAUUGUUGAUGCAAGAGAUGAUUCGGGCUUUGCAAAUUGUAUUGAUCUCGGGAACCUUGCUCUGAAGAUGGUUCAAACGGAGAGACACAUGACCUUUCCAUUGGUAUACCGUCUUAUUGAGUUUGCCUUGAUUUUGCCGGUUGCAACAGCUACAGUGGAAAGAGCAUUCUCAGACAUGAAGAUUAUUAAGACAGAUUUGAGGAACAAGAUGAAUGACGGCUGGAUGAAUCAUAGUAUGUUAUGCUAUAUUGAGCGAGAUAUAUUUGCAAAUAUUGAAGAUGAAAAGAUUUUGGAGCAUUUCCAAAGUAUGAGGUCGCGCAAAAGACAAAUACCCCGUUCAGCUAGUGGUACGUUACUUUCUUAGCAAUACAAUUAAUGUAUGUAUUCAUCCAUUACUUCUUUUUGAUUAAUUUUCUUAUCUUUGAUGUAGGUUAUGGUUCUUCUCCGGUGAUUGAUGAGGAAAUGGUGGGCUAAAGAUAAGAGAAAAGUUUCAUUUUGUAGGUAUUAAAAUGUGUCCUAAUUAUGCGAUUAUGGAACAAUAUAUUUUUUGUGCUUUUCUAGUGUCAUUUGGUUAAAAACUGGACAUACUUUCACUUCAGAAGUUUAAUUAUGCAUUUUAGUUUGGUUUGACUUAUAUAUUCUGAUAUGAAUAGAAGAUUAGAAGGUAUUUUUUGGGUAGUUUUUGUCCAUCACAACUUAGCCCCGGUCUUUGCCAAUUUCUGAGUCCGCCACUGGUGUGUUAAUUUUCUUUCGAUUUCUGAGAUCUCUAGAUACAUACUUCCUCUUUACCUAAAUACUUAUACUCCCUCCGUUCCUAAAUAUAAGUCUUUUAGUAGAUUCUACUAGAAGACUACAUACGUAUGUAUAUAGACAUACUUUAGUAGUGUAUAUUCACAUAUUUUGUCUUCGUAUGUAGUCACCUAGUGGAAUCUCUUAAAAGACUUAUAUUUAGGAACGGAGGGAGUACUUGGGAAGAACUACUUUUUUUAACUAUAGUACAGACACAAGUCCUCAUAUACACACGCAUACACUCAUCCCAUAAACACGCACACACACAUCCUAUCCCUAUGAGCACCUUUAAUUUUUCUCCAACUACAAGUAUUUAGAUACAAAGGAAGUAGUAAAUAUGCACCCACUUUGCAUGAUCGCUCCCUCCGUUUAUAAUACCUGUAGUGGUCUUAGUUAGCGGAGGGACUACAUGCCAAUUUUUCUUUCUUUCUUAUUUUGUUUUACUUUCAGGUGGGGCCAACAGAAAUAAGGUCCCAAAAAUCUACGAAAUUUCAGGACUUUUUCACCCGAAAUUAGCAAACGAAUUUGGUAAGGGUAUCUUGGUGCACGUAGCUUCCCCUUGNAGUUUCUUCUAUAUUUCUGUAAGAGUUCGUUGUCAGGACUCGAACUCGUGAUUUUGUAACCACAGGGCAACAACUUUACGCUAUGCCAAGCCAACAAAUGAAUUUUGUAUUAGAAAAAUAGGGUAGAAUGUACACUAUUUUCCUUGCAAAAAAAAGUAGGAUUGUUACACUAUUUAACUCAUCGUACACAUCAGGUGUAGUCUGUAUAAUAAUCUGGAACUCGACCCUACUAUCACUAGUGAGGUGGGUUACGUGUACUACCAUAAGGCUGAGGUACAUGUACUGUGAUAUUUUCUUCGUCCAAAAAUAUUUGUGAUAGAAAUGAAUGUAUGUAGAUGUACUGUAUUUUAGUUCUAGAUACAUGCAUCUAUUUUUAUCCAUUGAUGCGACAAGUAAUUCUGAACGGAGGAAGUAGUAUAUAUGUUCAGGCUCUAUUUGCAAUUGUUGGACGUUUAAAUUUAAAUAAUAUCAGUUUUUUGAAUGAUACUGAAAUUUCACGUUGUCCACACAAGAAAUUCCAACCGAAAGAACCCUGAUUUAUGCAUGCAUGAUGAUAUUCUUUUUUCCUCCAUCACAAAGCUGAAUAUUUUAAAAAAUAGCAUCCUUUGAAUAUUAGAUGUCACUGAUUUAGUAGUAGUUCUCAUGGUUUUGUUGGGUAACCGAGACCUGAGAUCUCAGUUCAAUUGAAGUGUGAAGUGUGCAGGCGACGAUCUUUACCGCCCAUUCUGGAUAGGCGGGGAGGCCCAUCUAAAUAAUCUUGCCCAGUUUGUCGCCAUGUUAGUAGUACUCUACACUGCAGUGCCAAACUUCUCAAACAAGCAUGCCAUUAAGAUAGCCUAUGACCCAAGGACGCAGUCUUGCCUUCAGGAUUUUUUUCUAACAAGAAGAUCGCUAUAAUCAUUUUUUUCCUAUUAAGAUUGCUACUACCCAUUGCUACCAUCCCUCAAUCCCUAAUUCUACUAUCCACCAGACCCAUUGCUCCAAUUGCGAAAAUCGCGUGCCUACGCACAGACACCAGCGAGAACUCCGCUCGCCAUACUCGAGUUUCCAGGCGCUAUAUGCACGGUCAGACCGCAUGGCUGAGCGCCUCCCAUCAACCGUCGGUUCACUCCACAUCAGGUCCUUGCAAAGCGCCAGAUUACCGAGCAAUCAAUGUAAAUCCGAGGUGCAUCAUAUUACCGUUCUGAAAUCCAGCCAUUUGUGAGGUAUAGAUCCUUGUUAUUAUACUCACAAAUUAUAUCACUUAUGUUAAAUAUAAUUUAUUGGAUUAAUGGCGAAUCUACUUUUAUGUUUAAGUAAAAGGUAUGAUUUGAAUGCUGAAGGCUUCUUAGAUUUUCGCAAAAAAAGGUGGCUUCUUAUAUUGGAAUGAGAUAUUUUCAUAGGAAUUUUAUUGUGCUUUUGCUGCCUUUAUUUUCAUUAGGUUUGAGUUUAGAGAUCUUACAAUUUGUCUUAUGUGAUUGCAUGUAUCUUCACUCACAUCAUUGUAAAUUCAAGAGCUUUAAACUCUUGUGAUUUUUUUAAAGUCACGGUAUAUCCAUAUUGUUGUAGUUCCUAUUUUCGUCUUCUUACGUUUUAGAAUCCAAUGUUUUCAAAACUAUUUCUUAAAUAUGAAUCAACUGCCAAAACAUGGUGGUAUAGUCAUAUGCAAACCACAUACUAUUACUAGUAUUAAUAGGCCCGAAAUUUUUGUUUCGCCCCGGACCCUCAAAAUAUCAGGACCGGCCCUGCCGAUUCUAAGCGGACCCUUAGACUUUAUUCUUACCGUUUUAUCGAUGGAGAUCGCAAAGUCCUAUGAUUGUAUAAAUGAGGUGACGUUUCUAAAAAAAACACCCGAGCAUUUGUGCCAGAACUGCGGUGAAGAAAUCUGUGUCACACAAGGAAAGGCAGGAUAAUUUGAAUUGCUUGCUCACGUCGUCUUCAUACGUAACGCAUCGCUCAACUUAAGCCACACUUUUCAUAUGGUGUGUGCAUAGUUAAUCCAAACUAUCAUUAUAAGAGUCUCUUCAGAGUCCCUCCGCUCCACGACCCCGUUCCCGGAGCAUCUGGAGCUGUACUUGAAAAUCGCAGAGCAAGGAAACAGGUGCUCCCCAGAUUCUGGGAUUCGUGGAGCCGGUGAAUUGUGAAACAAUUCCUAAUUAUAUACAGUAGGUAGAUAAAUAAGAUUUCAGGGCUGGGUCCACCGGCUCAUCAUUAGAGUCGACAUGUGGGGAUAUGAGACAAAACUGUUGAGUAAACAGGCAAUUUUCCGAGUAGAUUAAUCCACAAAAUAAUAACUAGCAUGUCAUUGACUAGACUAAUGACAUACUGAUCUUGAGCUAACCUAGCACAUACUACGCAUAUAGUGGAUACAUCUAUGCAAACAAAUAGUACUGCUAGAAUAAAUACGAACAAGAGGAUAAACGAUUCAUACCCUCCAAUCGGCCAGUUGGCCGUAGCAGCAGCAGCGGCGGCGGCGGCAGUAUCCUCUGCCGUCUUCUUCUCGGCUUCCUCGCGGAGACGAUCAGCUUCGCUUGGUGAAGACAUGGCGAUGACGAGGGCGACGCGGACGUAGACGAAGCAGACAGACGGAGGCGAGCAGUCGCGUGAUCGCUCCCCAAAAACCUAAUCGCCCCUCUCCCGUACAGGAACCGGAGAGGCGAGGUUUCGGAGGCCUGCUCUCCCGUCGACCGUGUACGCGGUAAACGGGACGGAGUCGCCGGCGGCAGCAGCAGUCAAGGAAGGAACGCGUGAGGCAGAUGUGAUCUGAUUCUCGUGACGGCUAGGGUAGGCGAUCGCGUGCUUAUAAAGGCGGCUGGGUGGAGAGACGUGGGCCAAGCCCACGUUCGAGUCGGUAACAGCCACGAUCCGACGUCUCGGAUCGUUCCUUGUCCGUUACGUAUUCUCCGUUCCUGACCGGCAAAAAUAAGCGCGUAGAUAUGAGCUCGGCUCGGCUCAUUCCCGCGUCGCGUCGCGUCGCGGCGUGGCGAGGCGCGCGGCGGCGGAGGAGUGCGCGAGGGCACCUUCUCUUCUCACUCUCCAAUAGCAUGUGGAAGAGAGACCCUUAUAAAGGGGUCCAAACUCUCCUCCACUAGCGGGGUGGGACUAAACUCCCACCACCUUGCCAUGCCACCACCUAAAUGGGCCCUUGUAGAUUUUCUGAAAUUCUCUAAUGGGCCUAAGGCCCACCUCCAAAUUUCAACAAUCCCCCACCAGAUCUCAAGGGCACAUCGUGUUCCCUCAUUCCAAUCACUGUUUUAAUAUACCAGCAUUUCAGUGAAGACCUACUAAGGUUGAGCUUCACCUAGAACAAGUAGCUACACUCCUUUACAACUGAGCAAUGGACUAUGCCUUGAAUUGUCAGCUUGGCGUAAAAGAGCUUCACCACAAGUCUUACUAGUACUAGACUGCCGAAGGUGACCCCUCGGGUGGAACAUAUUAGUCACACCCCUGGCCUAUUCAUGAGUUUACUAGAGAUCACCCAAACCUCAUAGACUGUGACCAGCAGUCAAGCUCAUAUAGGUGUGUUCCUCCAAAGAUCGCUCUGUAGGACAGCAUCUUGCUUACAUAUAAGCUUUAGAACACAUUAAGACAGUAGUCAUCCUACCAUACAGUAUCCGAGAGUAUUGCAUCUCCAACGGAGUGGGUUAGUAAAGUUACUCUCCUCAGUUCACCACUGGCUUGUUUUCCCAGGUCCUACUUCACGGGAUCUCCGAUCAUAUAGGUUGGGUUACUACCAUGGCAACUCAUGUGGGUCUCAUACCCAUCUCCCUCGAUGCACUAUCUAUCACAACACGUGAUAGCCCUUUAGUAAAGGGAUCUGCCAGAUUCUUAGCCGUUUGGAUAUAAUCCAACACUAUCACUCCGGAGUUUCUCAAACGUCUGACAGACUUCAAUCUCAUUCUUAUAUGUUUGUUGGACUUCAUAUUGUCCUUUGAACUCUUCACUUUAACAAUAACCGUCUGAUUAUCGCAGAUCAUAAGGAUAGCCGGAACCGGCUUCUCAACCACAGGUAAGUCCAUCAAAAGAUCUCGAAGAAAUUCUGCUUCGACACCAGAUGUGUCUAAUGCUGUUAAUUCUGCUUCCAUUGUCGAUCUUGUUAAGAUCGUUUGCUUGCAAGACUUCCAGGAAACAGCACCACCCCCAAGAGUAAACAUAUACCCAGUAGUGGCCUUCAUCUCAUCAGCAUCAGAGAUCCAAUUCGCAUCACUAUACCCUUCAAGUACCGAUGGGAAUCCCGUAUAGUGAAGCCCGUGGUUGACAGUACCUUUCAAGUAGCGCAUAAUUCUUUCAACAGCACGCCAAUGAACAUCGCCCGGGUUUGCAACAAACCGGCUAAGUUUGCUCACAGCAAACGCGAUGUCAGGCCUCGUUGCGCUAGCUAGUUACAUAAGUGAACCGAUAAUUUGAGAGAAUCUCAAUUGAUCUAUAGCUGUGCCUUUAAACUUUCGAAUAAGCACACUAGGAUCAUAUGGUGUUUGAUAAAUUUUGCAGUCUGAAUAUCCAAAGCGACUCAAAAUCUUAUCAACAUAGUGGGAUUGCAGAAGUGUAAUCCCACCCUCAUCAUCUCUCAACAGCUUGAUGUUCAAGAUAACAUCAGCCACCCCAAGGUCCUUCAUCUCAAAGUUUUGAGGCAGAAAAGACUUAACCUCCUCAAUUACUUUGAGGUUGGUUCCAAAUAUCAGUAUGUCAUCAACAUACAAGCACAAUAUAACUCCUUCGCCCCCACCAUGGCGAUAGUAUACACAUUUGUCAGCUUCAUUAACAACGAAGCCAACAGAUGUCAGAGUUGUAUUAAACUUCUCAUGUCAUUGCUUAGGUGCUUGUCUCAGACCAUAUAAAGAUUUCAGCAACUUACACACCUUUCCUUCCUGACCUUCUAUCACAAAGCCAUCUGGCUGUUGCAUAUAGAUUUCCUCAUUUAGCUCUCCAUUCAGGAAAGCCGUCUUAACGUCCAUUUGAUGAACGAGAAGACCAUGAGAGGCCGCCAAUGAGAGUAGUACUCUAAUGGUGGUCAGUCUAGCCACAGGUGAAUAAGUAUCGAAGAAAUCUUCCUCUUCUUUCUGGGCAUAGCCCUUGGCCACAAGCCUAGCCUUGUACUUUUCAAUCGUACCAUCGGGUCUAAGCUUCUUUUUGAACACCCACUUGCAUCCCAAUGGUUUGCAACCAUAGGGACGAUCAGUGAUUUCCCAUGUCCCGUUAGCCAUGAUGGAAUCCAUCUCGCUACGGACCGCAACUUUCCAGUAAUCAGCAUCUGGAGAAGCAUACGCUUCUGAAAUAGAAGUGGGAUUAUCAUCCACGAGGUAUACGAAGAAAUCAUCACCAAAGGUCUUUGCAGUCCUUUGUCUCUUGCCCCUACCACGGGCUUCCUCGUCAUCCUCCUCAGGAUUUUCAUCAUGUGUUUGUUCAUAAUAUUCCAUAGGAAUGGCAGGCUCAGGAGUUAUCUCAGAUUCUUGUCUAGAAGUGCUUUGCAUAUCUCUCAUGGAAAAUAUAUCCUCAAAGAAUGUAGCAUCCCUCGACUCCAUUAUUGUACCGACCUUCACGUCAGGUACCUCAGAUUUCACUACUAGAAAUCCAUAGCCUACGCUAUUCUUAGCGUAUCCCAAAUUAACGCAAUCCACAGUCUUUGGUCCAAGCUUACGCUUCUUGAGGAUCGGUACAUUGACUUUCGCCAAGCAGCCCCAAGUACGUAAGUACGAGAGUGUCGUCCUUCUCUUCGACCACUCCUCGUAGGGAGUGACCUCAUUAUCUUUUGUAGGAACUUUAUUCAGGACAUGACACGCGGUCAAUAUAGCCUUCCCCCACCAUGCCUUGGAUAAACCCGAUGUAUCUAACAUGGCGUUAACCAAAUCAGUUAGAGUACGGUUUUUCCGCUCGGCAACCCCGUUUGACUGGGGUGAAUAGGGAGGCGUCCUCUCAUGAAUAAUGCCGUGUUCCGCACAAAAUGAAUCAAAUUCGUUUGAGAAGUACUCUCCACCACGAUCAGACCGGACUCGUUUAAUUUUCUUUUCAAGUUGAUUCUCAACUUCUGCCUUAUAGAUUUUAAAGUAGUGUAGAGCCUCAUCUUUAGUAUUUAACAGAUACACAUAGCAAAAUCUAGUGGAAUCAUCUAUCAAUGUCAUGAAGUAUUUCUUUCCACCUUUAGUCAACACACCAUUCAUCUCACAAAGAUCAGAAUGUAUGAGUUCUAAUGGUGCCAAGUGUCUCUCCUCUGCAGCCUUGUGAGGCUUGCGAGGUUGCUUUGCUUGCACACACGAGUGGCACUUAGAACCUUUGGCUAAAGUGAAAGUUGGGAUUAAAUUCAGUUUUGCUAGCCGCGACAUAACACCGAAACUUAUGUGACAAAGACGUGAAUGCCAAACUUCCGAUUCAUUAACACUCGAAUGAAUAUUGUUCACGACUUUAUUACAAAAAUCUGCUAGAGAAAGGCGGAACAGACCUCCGCAUUCAUAACCUUUUCCAACGAAAAGUCCAUAUUUCGUAACUACUACUUUAUUAGACUCGAACACCAACUUAAACCCUUCUCUACACAGAAGGGAGCCACUAACGAGAUUCUUCUUGAUGGCGGGGACAUGCUGCACGUUCUUCAGCUGCACGAUCCUUCCCGAAGUAAACUUCAGAUCGACCGUGCCAACACCAAGAACAGAAGCACUUGCGCCAUUCCCCAUCAAUACGGACCCGCGACCGGUGGCCUGAUAAGAAGAGAACAAUGACAAGUUAGCACACACAUGAAUAUUUGCAUCCGUGUCCACCCACCAAUCGGUGGACUGACAAACUGUAAAUACAGUAAGUAAAUUACCAUACCCAGAUGCACCACUUUCAUUGUUGCCCACAAUCAUGUUUGCAGGCUUGGAGUCCUGCGUCGGCUUCUUGUACUUGUUUGGGCAUUUGUUCGCCCAAUGUUCCUCUGAACCACAAGUAUGGCAGCCAUCUCCCUUCUUAUUCUUCUUGAAGGGCUUCUUCCCCUUCUUCUUGAAGUCGGUAUUCUGUUGGACAGAGUUCUUUCCCUUGGGCUUGUGAGAAUUGAAGUUCCUCUGAUGUACCAUAUUGGCAGCAGAAGAGCUUUCCACCGCUUUUCCAUUGGAGUCCUUUGCUCUCGAGUUCUGCUCAACACUCAGAUGGCCGAUGAUGUCCUCUACUGAGAACUCACGCCUCUGAUGUUUCAGAGUAGUAGCAAAGUUCCUCCAGGAAUUAGGGAGCUUAGCAAUUAUACAGCCAGCGACAAACUUGCCCGGCAAAUUGCACUUAAGAACCUCAAGUUCCUUAGCUAUGCAUAUUAUCUCAUGAGCUUGUUCCAAUACAGAACGGUUGUCAACCAUCUUGUAAUCGUGGAACUGCUCCAUAACAUACAUCUCACUCCCAGCAUCGGUGGCCCCGAAUUUAGAUUCGAGCGCCUCCCACAAGUCCUUGGCAACAUGCAUAUGUAAAUAUGCAUCAACCAGCUUAUCUCCGAUCACGCUAAUGACUGCUCCAAGGAAUAGGACGGUGGCCUCCUUAAACAUCUUCUCCUGUUCAGGAGUGAUAGUUUCCGUAGGAGUGACACCGGCUACCCAGAACACGUUCAUAGCCGUGAGCCAUAAGGUGGUUCUCGUUUGCCAACGCUUGAAAAAAGUAUCGGUAAACUUAUCCGGUUUCAGUGCAGCAGCAAAACCAUUACUCGAAAAAUUCCUACAGAUAUUAGGUUUUUGGAUUGUUGAGUAAACAGGCAAUUUUUCGAGUAGAUUAAUCCACAAAAUAAUAACUAGCAUGACAUUGACUAGACUAAUGACAUACUGAUCUUGAGCUAACCUAGCACAUACUACGCAUAUAGUGGAUACAUCUAUGCAAACAAGUAGUACUGCUAGAAUAAAUACGAACAAGAGGAUAAACGAUUCAUACCCUCCAAUCGGCCAGUUGGCCGUAGCAGCAGCGGCGGCGGCGGCAGUAUCCUCUGCCGUCUUCUUCUCGGCUUCCUCGCGGAGACGAUCAGCUUCGCUUGGUGAAGACAUGACGAUGACGAGGGCGACGCGUACGUAGACGAAGCAGACGGACGGAGGCGAGCAGUCGCGUGAUCGCUCCCCAAAAACCUAAUCGCCCCUCUCCCGUACAGGAACCGGAGAGGCGAGGUUUCGGAGGCCUGCUCUCCCGUCGACCGUGUACGCGGUAAACGGGACGGAGUCGGCGGCGGCAGCAGCAGUCAAGGAAGGAACGCGUGUAGGCGAUUGCGUGCUUAUAAAGGCGGCUGGGUGGAGAGAUUCCUGACCGGCAAAAAUAAGCGCGUAGAUAUGAGCUCGGCUCGGCUCGGCUCAUUCCCGCAAUGAGCGGCGCGUCGUGACGAGGCGGGUGGCGGAGGAGUGCGCAAGGGCACCUUCUCUUCUCACUCUCCAAUAGCAUGUGGAAGAGAGACCCUUAUAAAGGGGUCCAAACUCUCCUCCACUAGCGGGGUGGGACUAAACUCCCACCACCUUGCCAUGCCACCACCUACAUGGGCCCUUGUAGAUUUUCUGAAAUUCUCUAAUGGGCCUAAGGCCCACCUCCAAAUUUCAGCAAAAACCUCAAACUCAGAGGAAAAUUUAAACUGUACCUAGCAGUAAACAUGUAUGAAAUGAGUAGUUACAUAAGUAGAAACACCUACUCCCUUUGUAUCUUCUCCCAAACUACAAUUAUUAGAUAUAGAAGGAGCACAAACGUGAUACCCCUAUAGACCAUAUAGACAGCAAACAGUUUAUAUCAAACUAGGUUCUGACCCCGCUUUAUGUAUAAAGCAAACAACGACAAACACAACCAAGAUACAACCGAGUAGCAACAAUUUCUAACAUGUUAACUUGUCAUGAUCUCAUCUAGCGAAUUCCAUGCUGAGCACGACUUUCUUCUCAAGGCUGAAAACCCCGGUGGUUGUGUCGCAUUCAGACGACAUGGAGCUCCCCACAUCCGUGACUGUGAGGCUGUGACACUCGGACACCAGCGGCUGUUUCACUUGAUCUGCCAGCUGCCGGAGCUCCUCCGCAACGUGCCUCAUCGUCGGCCUCCUGCUCCCCGGCAUGACUAAGCAUCGAGUCGCCAGCUCCGUGGCCUCAAGGGCCACUCCCAUGCUAGCAUCACCGACUAUUUCCCUGUCAAGGAGGUGAUGGAGCGUGCGAUCCUCCAUAGACUCCUGAACCAUCACCGUGAGGCUCUUCCGGAGUUUUGACAGCGGCUUCUUCCCGGUUAGGAGCUCCAGAAGGAGGACCCCAAAGCUGUAGACGUCGUUCUUCUGGGUGAGCUGGUACUCGAGCAGGUACUCCGGGUCAACGUAGCCCGCCGUGCCUCUGGCCACCACCUGGGUCUUCUCAUCGAUGGUGGAGCAGCCAAAGUCGGACACCUUGGCUACCCAGCCGUCGGUGAGCAGGACGUUGGCGGGCUUCACGUCGCCGUGGAGUAUCGGAUGCGCCAACGAGUGCAGGUACGCCAGCGCUCCGGCGGCCUGCGCGGCGAUCCUCAGACGGGUUCCCAGGGUGGCGCGGCACGAGGUCGGCUGGCUGUGCAGUAGGUCCUCCAGGGUUUUGUUCUUCACGUACUCGUAGAUCAGGAUGGGCACCUCGAACUGCAGGCAGCAACCCAGGAGCUUGACGAUGUUGGGAUGGUCGACGCGGCAGAGUAUCACCAGCUCCUGCACGAAAUCCUUCGUCCUGCUCUCGUCCACCUCCUUGCAUCUCUUCACGGCCACAUGUGUGUCCUUGCCGUCGACAUCGAGGACAGCCUUGUACACGGUGCCCUGCCCUCCUUCCCCGAUGAUGUUCGCCUUGUCGAAAUCUUUUGUUGCCGCCUCAAUCUCUCCUCUGGCAUAGACAGUGAACCCAAUGUUACGCUCUACUCUCAUAAUUUCUGACAGUAUCUGCCCCCCAUGUUGUUGAUAGUAUUCAUCAUUUUGUCUGAUCAACGCUUGUCUCUUGAUACUCCUUUUGUGACGGAUAAUUUCUAUUGCAAGGAUGCAGAUCAGACCAAUCAGAACAACGCCAAAAACUCCUGAAGAAUAGGAUGCCAAGGUUAGUCAUCAUUUCUCGUCUUGGAAAAAAAAGAAAACUUCUUUAUUCCGGUUUUGCUAAAUCACAUCUAGAUUUGACAUAAGUAUUGCACAUGUAAGUUCUAUAUCAUUGAUUUUACAUGAAGAUUCGAGUGGGUAUUUUUUUUAUGCUUGAUUCAGUUAUUUAGGCCAUGUUUGGAACCAUAAUAGAUUAUAAUAAUCUAGAUUAUGAAGGUAGAUUAUAUAAUCUGGUUUGUAAAAAUAAUCUAGGUGAACAUGUUUGGAGGCCAGAUUAUAUAAACUGUAAUCCAGGUUUUACAUUGCAUAAUGACCUGUCUGUCCUUUGUUUUGUUAGAAAAAGGAGGAUGGCGGUGGCAGGGAUGUAAUUAUCUCCAACUUUACAAAGGUAAUGGGUCAUUAGCAAUCCAUAAUCUGAUUUUAGCUGGGGUAGAAUAGAUUGUGAGUUUUUAAUAAUCUGUCCAUCUAGUUUUUAUAAUCUACACCUUAAUCUGUCCUGUUUGGAGACAGAACAGAUUAUAAAAACUGGAUUAUAUAAUCUGAGUGGUUCCAAACAGGGCCUUAGAUGUGCAUUAAUUACGUUACAUCUAGACGAGCCCUCAUUUGUUGGAUCGGGUUCCACUAUCAGAAGUUAACGGAACAUGAAAACAAAGCGUAAAAAGAAAACAUGUGUUUUUGAUUGAGUAAAAGAUGGAAUUAAUUGGCAAAAAAGAAGAAGCGCUUCGGAUUGAUUAAAAGAUGGAAUUAGUUGACACUAAUAUGAAUUUGAACACAUGUAUAAGGUCAAAAUAUUAUGUACCAAGAUUGUACUCUCACCGCUUUUAUUUACUGCACAUAUUAGCUUUGCUUAAAGUCAAACCUUAUAAACUUUGAUCAAGUUUAUACUCCCUGCGUUCCUAAAUAUAAGUCUUUUAAGCGAUUUCAGUAGUGAACUACAUACGGAACAAAAUGAGUGAAUGUACACUCUAAAAUAUGUCUAUAUACAUCCGUAUAUAGAUUCCUAAUGAAACCUCUAAAAAGACUUAUAUUUAGAAACGGAGGAAGUAGAAAAAAAUGUUAACAUAUAAAGUACCAUUAGAUUCAUCACUAAAUAUAUUUUCACCUCAAAUACAUUGUAUUUUGAAUUUUGAUAUUAUAUUUUAUAAACUUGGUGAAACUUUAUAAAUUAAGUUUUACUUUGGUCGAAGUUAAUAUACAAACUAAAUAAAAAUAGAGGGCUUAUAGCAGACGUAUAUUAGAGAUAUUGACGUACCAAUACCGAGUUUUUCUCCAAGACCAAGUGUGCGGUUUCUCUCGCAGGUCCCAUUUUGGGCGUUGCCUUUGGUAUGCUUGGGGCAUUGACACUUGAAUCCGCCGGGGAUAUUUUGGCAAGUUCCAGGCACAGAGCAAGGGUAUUCCCCGUCUGUGCACUCGUUAAUAUCUGCCACCAAAGAUCAUUUUUUAAGGAAUCAAGUUAACGCAGGUUUUUUCUUCUGCUAACCAUGUGCUUAAUAAUACAGAUAAAAAACAGUUAUAGUUCAGCCUAGCUAGGAAGCACACCGUGAAUCUCUAUUAUUUCUUGUGAAGAAAAAGUAUCUCAUUCUUAGAUGAUUGAUCCUUGUUUGUGUAAUUAAUCGUCGAUCAACUGAUGAUGGAACAUGCAUGUGGGGUCUAUAAACUGUUUUGAGUUGGUACAAACCUUUGCAUCCACCUUGCUCCGGACCUUGCAGGUAAGGAUUGCCUUGGUAACCCUUGGAGCAGUUGCAGAUGUAGCCUGGUCCGUUGAGCGAGUCGAAGCACUCGCUGUGGUCGGCGACGCAGGCGUAGGACGAGGAAUUCUUGCGCGCCGCGUCGCAUGUCUCCUCUCCAACAACCCAGUCCACCGCCAGCGGCGCCUCCCCGGCGAAGGUGGCGUUGAACCCCGGCAAGGUGGCGUAGGUGGCUUGGAAGGUGAAGUUGGAGGCGUCCAUGAGCACGGCGUAGUUGCAGGGGCUGACGUCGUGGAUCUCCGUGGUGUCGAAGCCCGAGUCGAACCGCACCUCGUAGUACUGCAGCCCCCUGGGGAUGGCGGUCUGGCAGCACCCGAUCCCGGAGCAGGAGCCGUUGCUGAGGGCGGAGCUCACGUUGCCGCCGCCGCCGCCUCCCCGCCGGCACAUGGCCACGCAGCCGCUGGCGUACUCGUUCUCGCUCGUGCCCAGGAUGUACGCCAGCGCUUGGCAGCCGAUGACGGUGAACUUGUUGGUGUCGGCGAUCCUGUAGGGCGUGCCCGUGAAUUUGAGCUGCCAAGGGUCGGCGUCCAUCCCUUGCGAGAUGGCGUUGUAGCAGUAGCUGGAGAUAUGGUUCUGCAUCCGGACCUGACCUUGCUGCAGCGAAACGCGGACGACCUCCAUGUUGCUGAAAAAUGGCCUGCGGCUCCCGCCAUUAAUCCCGGUCUCGUUGCAGGUCAGGUGGAAGCCG